This 71302-nucleotide long non-coding RNA is filed under the name Capsicum annuum. Its description in RNAcentral is "long non-coding RNA (CANN_LNC010071)". The record is from RNAcentral. Lineage: Eukaryota; Viridiplantae; Streptophyta; Magnoliopsida; Solanales; Solanaceae.
CUUUUUUCAAGUCCAAAAUUGACUAGAAUCUCAAAUGAGCUUGUAACGCCCUAAAUCUGGUACCCGAAAUGCUACAUGGUGCUCAUGACCCUGAAGAACCACAAGCUAACCCAUAACUGAUAUUUGUACUUGUACACUGCAUAAUAUGACAUAAUAAUGCAGAAAUAUGCACUGAAAGGCCAUAAGGUUCAAUACUAAACAUGAUUUGAAUGAUAUAACAUCUGUGUGGGGUAAUAGAAUACCCCAAAACAAAAUUAAACAUACUAAAGUCUAUAACAUGAUAGUCUAGAAAGUCUCUAACUGACUGAACUGUCUGAGUAAGGAGUUGAUGGGACAUGUCCCCAACUAACUCUAACUAAUAAACUAAUUAAUGAGAUAAUAGAGAAAUAAUUAUAUCCUCGGAGGAUGAGGACUCACUGCUAACUCUGACUGCUGAUAUCUGGAAUCUACUGAUGCUCUAGAGCUCGUGUCUCUGAACCUAUGGUAUAAGACACCAUAGCACAAAUGUGUCAGUACUUUGAAUGUACUGGUAUGCAUGUGAGGUAGGCUUAAUGUAUUGGGUUCAUAUGCAUGAACAAUACUGGCUAAAUGACUAAUAUAAAUAUGAGAAUACAUGCAUGCAUACAUAGUCACUAUAUCUAAAGUCGUGAUAACAUGAGUAUGCUGAUGAUUAACAUGACUGAAUUCUGAUAUAUGAUAACAGAGUGACUAUAUCUGACAGUCCUUGAUCUGAUGGAACUAGCUGAGUUUCGUAUUGUAUUUGAGUUCACUGUAUCUGACAGUCUUGAAUUCUAAAGAACUAUCUAAGUUUAUUUACUGAGACUAGUACUGAGACUGUGGUAGGUAGGCAUCUAACCGACAUGCCCCAAAUGAUGCAUUUAGCUGAAUUGGGGUCCAAUCUGUGCCCUGAUUGGAAGGGUGUCAAUAUCGUGCCACUGGUAAGGAAAACAUAUGAGUGACCCUAAUAUACUAGGUAACUCUAAUGAGAACAGUGGGAACCCUCAUAUAUCAGGUUAAGCCACCUCAUCUACCCUCAUAUAGCAGGCUAUGAUGUCUUAACCUAUGCUGGCUACAUAGGUUUGGAAUGCAAGGAUUGCUUCUAAGAAUCACACCCUCAUAUAACAGGUGAGUUCCCAGCCUUGGGUUCACUCGGUGCUAAUUUCUACUCCCAUCUGAAUAGACACUGAACAUGAUUUACUGAACUGAACAUGGACUGAGUUACUGACUUACGUUGACUGAUGGAAUACUACUGACUUCUAGCAACUGACUGAGUUCAUGAGAUCAUAGAGAUUUCCUGAGUCAUAAGACUGUCUGAAGUCUAAGGAUCAUAGCUUGAAUGAGAGUAUCAUGGAAACAUGACAUGGCUCUAGGCACAUAGCUAAUAUUUCGGGUAAAAGUACACCCAGGACUCGAUGGAAAGAAACUGACAAUGCAUGACCUACUUGAACACAUCACUAACAUCAUAAUCCAUAAUACAUUUAUUGAAGCAUUUCAUCAAACAUGUGAUCUGCAUAAACUUGUACAUACAUGGGGAUUUCAUGAUAUCAUGCUAGUUGGGCAUUUUCCUUCAUCUAGGCAUUUAAUCAACACAUGGUAGGCAAAGUAUGUGUAAACAAAAUUAUACAAUAGUUAAACAUCAUGAUUCAAUUAUAAUUUCAACAUUCAAGGGUUUAAUCAUAGGUUUACAUGAAUCUACAUCUAUACUAAUCAAAUCCACAUAAAAUUUAUCCCCCAACAUAGAAUAGAAUUCAAUUACUCAUUAUCAACAUGAACAAGAGAAGCCCAAUCAUGAAAUUUAUAAAGGAAAUCCAGAAACUUAAACUUUGAAAAGAGAUUCUUAGACUUCAUGGACGGAAGGAGUCCAUGAAUGAACACUAUGCAUACCUGUGUUAAGUUUCUUGAAAUUCUUGAACUUGAAGAAUUUGAAUCUCUUAAUUCUUGAAGAAGAUUUGGAUUUUGUUCUUGGAGAUUAAUGUUAGAGAGAAAACCCUAGUUUUGUUGUUGUGAAAGAAUAAUGAAUUUUUGAGCUUUGGUCGGAUAUAAUUGGGUAUAUAAAUGGGUGGUAAAAUACCAAAAAGUCCUUUAAUUUACUGAAUCGGGACCUACGACAGCUCGUGCGACAGUCCAUUAUUUCGACUGUCGUACGUGGAGCAAAAAAAACUCUUACUGCCUAAGUAGUGAUGGCCUGGACGAUGGACCGUCUAACUUCGCACCUUAUCCAGAAGGUUGCCUCACUACCUUGGCUGUGAUGGUCAAGGCGACAGUCCAUCGCUAGGUCGACGGUCCGUCAACCUGGCCGUCGCACCUGGGUGAUUCUGAUAACUCUGAGUAAAACGUCCAUAACUUCUUACUCCGAUACCGGAUUUGGAUGAAAUUUGUAUCGUUGGAAAGAUAAUUCAAUUUCCCACAUGAUAAAAGUAAAAAUCUUAAAAUAACAUAUGUACAAAAGUGGAUUCAUCUUUCAAAGAAAGCUUCUAAUAUUCUUGGGACAAAUUUCAAGCUAGGAAAAAGUAUGAGGUAUUACAAUAUCUCCCCCUUGAGAACAUUCGUCCUCGAAUGAGACUGAGUGAGAGGAAAGAAUAACCAACGUACAUACUAAACAUGAAUACUAAAACAUGAUCUCAUUACUGACAUUACUGAUAACUGAACAUGCAUAUCUGAUGCAUGUGUGACUGAUUCAUGAAUACAUGACUGGGUGUUCUGAUGAACUAAGUUUCUCACAAUGAGAAUGCAUGUCUGGAUCAUAAUUAUAUAACUGAGCUGAUACAUAAAUGCAUGACUGAAUAUACAAUGGUAUUUAAUACCAAGUUUGUGACGAACACUGAACAUGAACUGGGUAAGCUUAAGUAGAACUGUUACCUUGAGCUUGAUCUGAGUCGGUGGAGAAGAGGUGAGGAUACUUGGUAUGCAUGUCUGCUUCUAUUUCCCAAGUAUCUCCCUCGACAAACUGAUUUUGCCAAAGAAAUUUAACUAGAGGGACUUCUUUGUUCCUCAGUCUACGAGUCCGAUAGUCUAGGAUUUUAACUAGAAUCUCUUCAUAAGAGAGGUUAUUCUGAACAUCGAUGCUCUGAAUAGGGACUACAACUGCUGGGUCACCUAUACAUUUCUUGAGCAAAGAGACAUGGAAAACUGGAUGAACUGAGGCUAGAUCUAAAGGCAAUUCAAGCUUAUAAGCUACCUUGCCAAAGCGACUGAGAAUCUUGAAGAGACCAACAUAUCGAGGACUGAGCUUUCUCUUCUUGCGAAAGCUCUUCACUCCCUUCAUGGGAGAGAUCUUUAAAUAUAAAUAUUCACCAAUCUCGAACUCGAGAUCUUUUUUACGAACAUCUAAAUUAGACUUCUAUCAGCUUUGAGCAGCCCGAAGUCUUUCUCUGAUCAACUGGACUUUCUCUAAGGCAUCGAAUACCAAGUCAGGCACUAAAACUGAGGCCUCACUAACUUCAAACCAACCAAUUGGAGAUCUACAUCUCCUACCAUAGAGAGCUUUAAAUAGAGCCAUCUUAAUACUAGAAUGAUAGUUGUUGUUGUAUGCAAAUUCAAUCAAAGGCAAGUGGCCAUCCCAACUUCCCUUGACAUCAAUUGCACACGCACGUAAUAUAUCUUCUAAAGUUUGAAUGGUCCUUUCUGCUUGACCAUCUAUCUGAGGAUGGAAGGUUGUACUGAGAUAAACUUAGGUACCAAUACCCUUUUGGAAUGCUUUCCAGAAAUAAGAGGUGAACUGGGUACCUCUGUCUGAGAUAAUAGAUAGCAGAACACCGUGCAAUCUGACCAACUCCCUGAUGUAGAGUUUGGCAUAAUCCUUGGCUGAAUAAGAGGUAUGAACUGGAAGGGAAUAGCUGAUUUGGUCAUUCUGUCUACAAUGACCCAAAUUGAAUCAUGUUGAUGACGAGUUUGAGGCAAACCCAUCGCGAAGUCCAUGUUCACUUCUUCCCACUUCCAAGUAGGAAUAAUGAACUCCUACAUAAGACCACUAGGCUUCUGAUGCCCUAUCUUAACCUGCUGACAUAUAGAGCAAUUAGCCACAAACUCUACAAUAUCUCUCUUCAUCCCACUCUACUAAUAAACUUCCCACAAGUCGUAGUACAUUUUGUGGCCCCUGGAUAAAUAGAGUAGCGCGCACCAUAUGCUUCUGCAAGAAUUCACUGCCUUAAGUCAUCUACACCUGGAAUACAGAGAUGACCCUGACAAUGUAAAACACCAUCUCUCCCUUAGGAGAAAACCUCUACUUUCUAAUCCUGAACUAACUCUUUUAACUUGACAAGGCUGGGAUCUUUAUCUUUCUUUUCUUUUACCUUGGAAACUAGAGAUGAUUCUGAACUACUCUGAACCCAUAUAUCACCUCAUCUGUAUCAACUAAGCGAAUGCCUAGUCUGGUAAGCUGAUGGACUUCCUAAGCUAACUUCUUCUUACUGUCUUCAACAUGAGCAACACUACCCAAAAAUAGUCUACUGAGAGCAUCGGCCACUACGUUGGCCUUUCCCAGAUGAUAAAAAAAAUUCAUGUCGUAAUCUUUCAAGAGCUCUAACCACCUUCUCUGACAAAGAUUGAGAUAUUUUUAAGAAAAGACAUACUGAAGGUUCUUAUGAUCCAUGAACACAUCUACAUUAACACCAUAUAGAUAAUGUCUCCAAAUCCUCAAGGCAAAUACUAUGGCGGCUAACUCAAGAUCAUGAGUAGGAAAAUUCUUCUCAUGGGUUCAAGCUGUCUGGAGGCGUAGGCUAUGACCUUAUAUGCUGCAUAAGGACACAAUCCAAACCUACUCUGAAUUCAUCACAAUACACUACGAACCCAUCUGAACUAUCUGGUAAUGCUAGAAUUAGAGCUGAGGUAAGUUGAGUCUUUAACUCCUAAAAACUCUUCUCGCAGGGAUCUGACCACUGAAACUUGACUUUCUUCUGAGUCAAUCUAGACAUAGGGGAUGCAAUAAAAGAAAAUCCCUCAAUAAACCAUCUAUAAUAUCCAGCCAAACCCAGGAAACUCCUGAUAUCUAAUAGAGAGACAGGGCGAGGCUAGUUUCUUACUGCUUUAGUCUUUUAAGGAUUUACUCUAACGCCAUCACCGAAAAUGAUAUGGCCAAUGAAUGCUACUGACCUUAGCCAAAACUCACACUUACUAAAUUUGGCGAAUAGCUGAUGAUCUCUGAGAGUCUGAAGUACUAUUCUGAGAUGGUCUGCAUGAUCUCGCUCACUGUGGGAAUAGACUAGAAUAUCAUCUAUGAAGACAAUGAUGAACAUGUCCAAGUACUGCUUAAACACAUGGUUUCAUCAAGUCCAUGAAAGCUGCUGAGGCAUUGGUGAGACCAAACAACAUGACUAAAAAUUUAAAGUGACCAUACCGAGUACAAAAAGCUAUUUUUGAAAUAUCACAUUCUCUGACUCUGAGCUGAUGAUAACCGGAACUGAGGUGUAUCUUGGAGAAAUAGCUAGCACCCUGAAGUUGGUCAAACAAUUCAUCGAUUCUGGAAAGAGGAUACUUGUUCUUAACCGUGACCUUAUUAAGUUGACAGUAGUCUAUACAUAUUUUGAUAGAAUCAUCUUUCUUGUGCACGAAUAAUACUGGAGUGCCCCACGGGGACAUAUUACGCCUGAUGAAUCCCUUAUCUAAGAAAUUCUUCAACUGUUCUUUCAGUUCUUUGAUAUCUGCUGGUGCCAUUCUAUAUGGCGGAAUGGAUAUAGGCUGAGUACCCGGAAGAAGAUCAAUGCCGAAGUCUAUUUUCCUUUUAGGAGGAAUUCCUGGAAGAUCUUUGGGAAAGACAUCUGAAUAUUCAUUCACCACUGGAACAGAUUCAAGACUGGUAGUUUUAGAACUGGAAUCCUUAACAUGAAUAAGAUAAUAGACACAUCCCUUAAAUAUCAUUUUUCUUACCCGAAGGUAGUAAACAAACUGACCUUUAAACGCUGAAGUACUACCCUUCCACUCAAGGAUGAGUUCAUUUAGGAAUUGAAAUUGGACUAUUCUAUUUCUGCAGUAGACUAUGGCAUAGUAGGAAUAAAGUUAAUCCAUGCCGAGAAUGACAUCAAAAUCAAUCAUCUUUAAUUUGACUAAGUCUGCUGAAGUGACUUUCUGAGAUAUCAUAACUGGGUUGAUCCUAUAUACCCACCGAGCUAUGAUAGUUUUACCCACUGGGGUAGAGACUAAAAAGGGCUCUGCUAGAAUUUUGGGACCGACUCCGAAAUUGACUGCUAUAUAAGGAGUGAUAAAAGAAAACGAAGCUCCUGGAUCUAGCAAAGCGUAAGCAUGCACAUAAAAGAUCUGUAAUAUACCGGUAACCAUAUCAGGAGAAUUUUCCUGAUAUUAUCGAGACUGAAGAGCAUAGAGACGAUUUGGGUGUUACCCACUAGUGGCACUAGAGGUGGCACCCUGCUAAUUUGGGCGACUAGACUAAGCUGAGAAGCAAUUUUACUGACCCUAAGGACCUGGCUAAGGACAGUCUCUGACUUUGUGGCCUAGCUUGCCACAUCCGAAAAAAAUACCACUGCCAGCUCUACAAAUACCCUGAUGGUGCUUGCCAUAAGUCUGGCAAAGAGGAUAGGUGUGGGCACUGCUAACACUGCCCUAGGACUUAGAGACUGGCGCUCUAUCUUUACUACCUUCUCUGAACUUAGGAACUGGAGCACUGGCUGAACAAGGAGCAGGAAUUGAUGACUUAGGACAAAACUGAGAACGAUUUUCUCCUUCUGACUUAGGCUGAGCAAAGUUAAAACUACCUGUCUUCGCUCUCUUAUUCUACUUCUCCCUCAUCUUAAUCUUAUGCUCUUCUAUCUGCUGAGCAUGAGUCAUGAUCCUGGCUAAAGUCAUGUCACUAUUCAACAUGGCGGAUCUGCACUCAUUAACCAUGCUAUUGUUCACCCCCAAAAUAAACAUACUCAUCCUUGCCCUACUAUCUGCAACCAUAUGAGGGUCAUAUCUGACUAAUUAAGUAAACUUAAGAGAAUACUCUUUCACUGUCAUAUUGCUCUGCUGAGGUUGAUAAAUUCUAGAACCUUAACUUCUCUAAGAUCUAGGGGAAAGAAUCUAUCAAGGAACGUUGAAGCAAACUCCUCCCACUCAAUUGACCCUACAUCGUCUGGCCUCUCUGACUUCCAUUGCUUGAACCAAGUAUGAGCCACAUCCUGAAAUUGAUAUGCAACUAGCUCAGCACUCUCACUAGACGUAACCCUAAUUAUGUCUGUAACCUUAUGCACCUGAUCUAGGAAUUCCUGAAGGUCCUCGUCUGUCUUAGACCUAAGAAAGAAUGGAGGAUUCAUUCGGGUGAAGUCCUGAAUCCUGGAUGCAGCUGAAUUGGCCACUGGGUUGGCUGGAAUGAUAGCUGGUCAUUCAUUCUAAGCAGCAACUGACUGAGAAAGAGUAGUAAAUAUGGCCCUGAACUCUGCAUGAGAAACAUGUUCGUCCAAGGGAUCUUCUUAGAUAGGCUGGGUUCUUCUCUUAGGAGGCAUGUUCUGAAAUAAGUAGAAGAAAUGGAUUAGACUGAUAUAUUAGAUUGAGAUUAUGCUCACUGGCAUAACAUGAAUACUGAAAGAAGGGAAACUUGUUCUAAAACAUUUUAUAGCCUCUUGUACAUAAAUGUGGCGCGCAACACACACAUGUACAAGACUCUACUAGAUGCGGCUUUCAAACUUCCUAGGACUCUAUUGAACCUUAGGCUCUGAUACCAAGUUUGUAAUGCCCCAAAUCUAGUAACCAAAAUGCUAUACGGUGCUCAUGACCCCGAAGGACCACAAGCUAACCCAUGACUGAUAUUUGUACCUGUACACUGUAUAAUAUGACAUAACAAUGCAAAAACAUACACUGAAAGGUCAUAAGAUUCAAUAUUGAACAUGAUCUGAAUGAUAUAACAUCUGUGUGGGGUAAUGGAAUACCCCAAAAUAAAACUAAACAUACUGAAGUAUGAAAUAUGAUAGUCUAGAAAGCCUCUAACUAACUAAACUGUCUGAGUGAGGAGUUGAUGGGAUAUGUCCCUAACUAACUCCAACUAAUAAACUAAUUAAUGAGAUAAUAGAGAAAUAAUCAUAUCCUCAAAGGAUGAGGACUCACUGCUAACUCUGACUGCUGAUAUCUGGAAUCUACUGAUGCUCUGGAGCUCAUGUCUCUAAACCUAUGGUAUAAGACACAAUAGCGUAAAUAUGUUAGUACUUCGAAUGUACUGGUAUACAUGUGAGGUAGGUUGAAUGUAUGGGGUUCAUAUACAUAAGCAAUACUGGCUAACUGACUAAAAUAAAGGUGAAAAUGCAUGCAUACAUACAUAGUAACUAUAUCUGAAGUCGUGAUAACAUGAGUAUGCUGAUGACUAACAUGACUAAUGACUGAAUUCUGAUAACUGAUAACAUGAGUGACUGAUUUAACAGUCCUAGAUCUGAUUGAACUAGCUGAGUUCUGUACUAUAUCUGAGUUGACUAUAUCUGAUAGUCUUGAAUUCUAAAGAACUAUCUGAGUUCUUUUACUAAGACUGAUACUGAGACUGUGGGAGGUAGUCAUCUAAUCGACAUGCCCCAAAUGACGCAUUAUAGCUGAAUUGGGGUCCAAUCCGUGCCCUGAUUGGAAGGGUGUCAAUAUCGCGCCACUGGUAAGGACAACAUGUGAGUGACCCUAAUAUACCAGGUAACUCUAAUGAGAAUGGUGGGAACCCUCAUAUAGCAUUUUAAGCCACCUCAUCUACCCUUAUAUAGUAGGUUAUGAUGUCUCAACCUAUGUUGGCUAUAUAGUUUUGGAAUACAAGGAUUGCUUCUAAGAAUCACACCCUCAUAUAACAGGUGACUUUCCACCCUUGGGUUCGCUGGGUGCUAAUUUCUACUCCCAUCUGAAUAGACACUGAACAUGAUUUACUGAACUGAACAUGGACUGAGUUACUGACUUUUUUUGGCUGAUGGAAUACUACUGACAUUUGACAACUGACUGAGUUCAUGAGAUCAUAGAGAUUUCCUGAGUCAUAAGACUGUCUGAAGUCUAAGGAUCAUAGCAUGACUGGGAGUAUCGUGGAAACAUGACAUGGCUCUAGGCACACAGCUAAUAUUUCGAGUACAAGUACCCCCAGAACUCGAUGGAAGGAAACUAACAAAGCAUGACCUACUUGAACAUAUCACUAACAUCAUAAUCCAUAAUACAUUUAUUGAAGCAUUUCAUCAAACAUGUGAUCUACAUAAACUUGUACAUACAUGGUGAUUUCAUGAUAUCAUGCUAGUUGGGCAUUUUCCUUCAUCUAGGUAUUUAAUCAACACAUGGUAGGCAUAGUAUGUGUAAACAACAUUAUACAGCAAUUAAACAUCAUGAUUUAAUUCUAAUUUCAACAUUCAAGGGUUUAAUCAUAGGUUUACAUGAAUCUACAUCUAUACUAAUCAAAUCCACAUAAAAUUUAUCCCCCAAUUCUAUGACUCAUUAUCAACUUGAACAAGAGCAUCCCAAUCAUGAAAUUCAUAAAGGAAAUCCAUAAACUUAAACUUUGAAAAAAGAUUCUUGGGCUUCAUGGACGGAAGGAGUCCAUGAAUGAACACUAUGCAUACCUGGGUUGAAUUUCUUCUUGAACUUGAAGAAUUUGAAUCUCUUAGUUCUUGAAGAAGAUUUGGAUUUUGUUCUUGGAGAUUAAUGUUAUAGAGAAAACCCUAGUUUUGUUGUUGUGAAAGAAUAAUGAAUUUUUGAGCUUUGGUCAGAUAUAAUUGGGUAUAUAAACGGGUGACAAAAGACCAAAACGCCUCUUUUAAAAUGCCUUUAAUUUGCUGAAUUGGGACCUGCGAUUGCUCGUACCACUAUCCAUCGCUAAGGUGAUGGUCCAUCAUUUCGAUCUUCAUACGUGGACAAAAAAGAGGCUUACUGCCUAAGUAGCGACGGCCUGGGCGACGGUCCAUCACAAGUUCGAUGGUCUGUCAACCUGUCCAUCGCACCUUAUCCAGAAAGUUGCCUCACUGCCUUGGCUGCGACAGUCAAGGCGACGGUCUAUCGCUAGGUCGAUGGUCCGUCAACCUGGUAGUCGCACCUGGGCAAUUCUGAUAGCUCUAAGUAAAAUUCCCAUAACUUUUUACUUCGAUACCGGAUUUGAACAAAAUAGGUAUCGUUGGAAAGCUAAUUCAAUUUUUCAUAUGACAAAAAGUGAAAAUCUUAAAAAUAACACAUGUAAAAAAGUGGAUUGAUCUUUCAAAGAAAGAUUCUAACAUUCUUGGGAUAAAUUUUAAGCUAGAAAAAAGUACGGGAUAUUACAGAGCUCCCUGAAUUUCAACUUAAUAAUCCUAAUAAGUGCAUAUCCUAAAAUUAAGGAGUUAAGUUGUUAUAAUUAAUGCUCAAAUUCAGGAGGGUAUAUUCUGGAAUGGUCCAAAAUCAUGUGAUUCAUGAGGAAUUCUUGAAGUAAUCCACUAAAAAGGAGAUAGAAUAAUUGAGGUUUCAAAAAGUUCAUCGUUAGAAAAAAAAAAUCUAAAGAGAAAAAUAAAAUAUAUUUGUAUGAGCGAAGGUUAUUUCAUUCAAAUCUAUCAAUUGUAGAACUUUUGAUUUAGUGCAUUGAAGCAAUACAAGGAAAGAACCUAUGCAAAGUAUAAAGUAAGAAAGAGAAUAUCCACUACAAAAACAUUAUAAAGAGUCAAUAUUUACUUAGAAGAUUAAACAAGCAAGAAAAAAUAGACUUAAAAGCAAAUUGUAAAAUCUUCUUCUAUGAAAAAAAAUAUAGAUUAAAAAAUCAUUAAUAAGAAUAAAAUUGAACUCAAAAUCAUAAAAUAAAGUCUUUGAAAUUCAUAGAGAAGGCAAAAGGGUGGUGCUACAGAGAAAAUGGUAAAAAUAGUAAAAAAAAAAAAAAUAAAGCAAAAAGAACGUGAAGAAUAAAAAGAAUUAAAAUAUAAUAUAAAUAUUACGAAAAAGAAUAAAGUAGACAUAAUAGUUUACACUGAACAUGCUACUUAGGUGUAACAUCUCCAGAACGUGAUAAUUUCUUCAAAUUAAUGUAUUUUAAAUAAUUUUUUGUGUUUCUCAUGAGUUUUAAGUAGGUAAAAAUAAUUUUUGUCAUGUCAUAUUUCAGGGUAAUGGUUCCAGAAAGUAUGAUAAGAAGGGGCAUCUCCACGGAUACAGGAGUCCUUUGAUGGAUUAAGCAAAGUUCAAGCCCCCUGCAAUCUAAAAACCUAAACGUUGCUAGAAUUUUAAACCAGAUGCAACACCACCAUUGAUAGCCAGUUAGGCCACUGGGUUGGCUAGGUUUUUUCUCUUACAUCCCCAAAAUAUUUUCCUUCUCUAUAUUAUCCCAAUUCACCUAAAAAUUCUAUUUUGCCUAUCAAACUUAAGUUUUUGCUUAAAAUACCGCAAGUUAUGAAUCUUGUAGAUAGCACAGCCAAAACUAAAUAUGCCAAUUUAAUGAAAGAUAAUAACAUUAAGUUACAAGGUAAUAAAGGAAACCCAAUUUUUAUAAGCCUGUUUUUUUGUUGAUAGAGUUCCUCGUGUUACAUGGAUGGGGGAGAAAGGGGAGAAGAUGAAUAUUUUGAAAAAUUAACAAUUGGCUAUAGUUGAAAAAAAAAAUUAUGAAUGGCCUGAACUAGAUAUUAGAGAACACAAAUUCCAGAACAAUGUGGUAUAAAGAGAGACUGUAAAAUUGGUCUAUUAAGGAAUAAACACAUUCUCAUGAGAUUUAGCUAGAUGGAGGACUUUGUGAACAUAAUGGCUAAAAAUGUUUACUAUAUUAUUACCAAAGAUAGGCUUGCUUAUCAGAUGCACCCACUGAUUAAUGACACUUAGGUUAGGAAAAAAAAGAGAUAACGUAAGCAAUAGGUGGAUUUCUUUCCUAGACCUGUUACCCACAUUUUUAGAUGAAGAGUCACUUUUUUCAAUAGCAGUUAUUGUAGGAAGACCAAUUCAUCUUGAUAUGGCUACAAAUGAUAAAACACGACCUAGUUGCAUAAAAGUAAAGGUUCAAGUGGACCUGGUAGAAGACUUACCUAGUCAUGUGGAGAUUAAGGUAGUGAACAGUAAUAACAAUACAUCCAGGAUUGUAUCUAUCAAGGUUUAAUAUGAUGUGUUGUUAAAGUAUUGCAAAACAUACAAAUUUUAAGGACAUGAAGAAGAGGAUUAUCAAGUACUACAUCCAAAAUUAAAAGAGAUUUUUGAAGCAAGUAAAAAGGAUGGCAUCAGUAAUGAAAAUAAGGAUGAAGAUGGAGCAUAAAAUCAAAGAGUUUUUAGGAUAGGCAGGCCACAUGAAAGAAGGUGGAACCCCACUAAUAGAAAAUUCAAAAAGGACAAGGACACUGAAGAAUAUUUUCUUGACACUGUGUUGGAGACAACAACUUCUACAAAAAACAUUAAUCUUGAGAAUGCAUUUGACAUUCCGUACGAAAAGGGAGAACAUGGCAGUGAGUUAAAAAAGCAUUCUAGCAUUAUGAAAAAUAGUAAAGACCAGAAAAAAGGAAAAAAGAUGAAUACAGGUACACACAAUGUUCAAGGAAGAAAAACACAAAUGGGAUAACUUGAUUCACUGGAAAAGAAACAACAACAAAAAACUAAUAAUCUUACAAAUAGCAACUCCCAAUAGAUGCAACAAUCUGAAACCAGAACUACAAAGUAGGGCCUUCAGUUCAAUGGAAAAAGAGAGAACAUAUACUUAGAUGUGCUAUCUGAUAGUCCAAAUACAUUACAAUAUGAGGCAUGAGAGACAGAUUUAGAAAAAAGAAAAAUAUGAUUGAUGUAUUGGUUAUUGAUAAUGACCAAGUUAUUGAUUUAAAGAUAAUGGAGGUUGUAAAUGAAAUUGUUUUAAUAAAAGAAAGGGACAAAUAGGUAAGAAUAGUUAAUAAUAAAGAUAAAUAUGUGAGUUGUGGUAGAUGUUGAGAUGAACAGUGUAAUAACUACUGACAAAUAUGAGAAAAAGAUGGAGAAAGCAUUAGCAAUGGCCAUAAACCACGAACCUCUACAGAUUGAUGAAUCUAAUGUUGAUUUAGCAGAAGAUAAUGUUACUGACAGGUUUUCUUCAAAACUUUUAACAAAUAAUAAUGCAGUGCUAAGUGAGACCAAGAGACAACAAUAGAGUAUUGUACCUACAACAGUAGAAGCACAAUUAAAUAUGAUUUAGCAAAAAGUUUCACCAAUGACAAUGUUACAUAAUAUAGUCUCUCAUCAAUUAAUUGAAGAAGAUGCAACACAGACUAGUAAUACAUUAAAUUAUACGCUUAUAGAGGGUAAAAACAAUAGAUUAUAGAAAAUAUGGAGAUUGAACACUUGGCUAGAACAAGACAUAAUCAUGUUUCUUUACUAUUGUCUUGUUGAGAGCAAUCCUAUCAGUUAUAGGACUUUUAGAUUUCUUAAGUUUCGGACAAAGAAAAAAGGCUUCAGAAAUGUGGUACAACAAAAUUGGAUCUCUAAAUAAAUAGAUUAUGCUUUUAUUGACAUUAAAGUAAAGAUGAAAAGACUAAAAUUGCAUUAUCUUUAUAUAGCAGAGAGAAACAUGGGAUAUCUUCAAGAAACUAAAAAUUAGAAAAGAUAUUGUGAGAAUCAAAGAAGAUUUGGUUGAGGAAAUCCCAGCUGCAGCCAAUAGAAGUAUACUUUAGAGAGCUCAUGCUGAAUUAAAAUAGUACAUACAUUAUGAGAAGGAGUUUUAGAGGCAACAAUUAGGGAUAUAUUGGAUCAUAAAAUGGGAUAAAAUACUAAAUUUUUCCAUAGCAUGGUCAAUAGAAGGAUAAAGACUUACAAUUAAUAUAAUUAAGAGAAUUUAUGGGUAUUGGGAAAAAACAAUGAUCAAGUAGCUGAGGGAGCCAGUGUUUUUUAUUAAGAGCAAUUUUCCUGCAGUGAAAAAAGAGUUAAAUUUGAUUAAUCUAAUCCCAAAUUUAAUUUCUGCAGAAGAUAACUCUGUUUUAAAUGAAUUGACACCUGAUGGUGAGGUAAAGAAGGCAAUAUUUUAAUUAAAUAGGGAUAGUGCUAGUGUCCUUGAUGGAUUUAUUAGACACUUAUAUCAUACUUGAUAGGAAAUUGUUGGGGAAGAUGUAAUUAAGAUGUUGCAUACCCUUUUCUAAGGUUUCUCUCUUCCUAAAUCUAUUACUCAUACUAAUUUGGUCUUAUUACAAAAAAGGGUAUAAUCCUUUUUUGAUAUGAGGCCUAUUAGUUUGAAUAAUUUUCUUAAUAAGAUUAUCUCUAGAAUAUUGAAUGAUUGGUUGGAAGGAGUUCUACCUAAAUUAAUUUCUCAAAACCAAUAUGGGUUUGUGAAAGGUACAAGCAUUACAAAAAAUGUCUUACUAACGUAAGAUAUUAUUAUUGAUAUCAGGAAAAGGAGCAAAACAACAAAUGUGGUGAUCAAAUUGGACAUAAAAAAAGCAUAUGAGAGAGUAGAAUCAAAUUUUCUUGUAAAAGUAUUUGAACAAAUGGAUUUUGAUAAGUUGUUUGUUGAUAAGUUUUGGAGACUUUUUGCGAAUAAUUGGUAGUUUGCACUCAUUAGUGAACAAGCUCAUGGGUAUUUUAAUUUCUCAAAGGCAGUGAAGCAAGGGGACACUUUAUCACCAGUUCUUUUUAUUCUAGUUUCUGAUGUUCUCUCCGGGGCUCUUAAUAAUUUGUUAUUUCACAGAGAUUUUCGGGGGUUUGAUUUACCAUAGUGGAAUGAGAAUAUAAACCAUCUUUGUUAUGCAGAUGAUACAAUUAGAUUUGUUGCUGCUGAUAGAUUAUCUUUAAACUGAUUAUGAAGAUCCUUAAGGAAUAUUAAAAAUAUUUAGGCUAGAAGAUUAAUGAAGUUAAAAGUGUAUUUUUUGUUCACACAAAAAGCAGCUUAGACUCAUAUUCAAGUUGAUAAAGCGUGCACUAGUUUUUCUAAAGGCAAGUUUUUUUGACUUAUCUAGGGUGCUCAAUCGGAUAGCAAAAGAAAAAGUCACUUUUCAGAGUUGGUUAAGAAGGUACAAAAUAAAUUGCAAUUGUGAAAAGGAAAUUGAUGUCUUUGGGGAUAAGGUUGUUUUGAUUAACAAUGUUUUACUAAGCAUCCUUGUAAAUCAGUUGUCAUCCCAUUAUUCCUCUUAAAUAUGUUCUUUAUGAUUUACAUAAAAUCUUUGCUAGAUUUUUAUGAAAUUUUAAGGAGGUGGGUAGGAAUAAGCAUUGGUUUCAUGGUCAAAAAUUUAUUUGCCAAAAAAUAAAGGAGGUUUGGGCUUUAAAUCUUUAUUUGAUACUGCAAAAGCUUUAUUUACAAAAUUAUGGUGGAUAUUUAGAACACAAAAAUCUCCAUGGAUAAAUUUCAUGUGGAAUAAGUAUUGUAAAAAUUUUAGACCCUGAGUGGUAGAAUGGAGAGGGGGUCUCGAACUUGAAAGUUCAUGCUGCAAUAUAGGAAUAAUAUUGAUCAAGAAAUAUAGUGGGAGCUAAAAUAUGGUCACUCUAGCACCUAAUUUGAUAAUUGGACCCAAUUAGAUGCUUUGUAUUAUUACCUACUUGUGAAUUUCAAUAUGAACCUUUAUUUUGAAGAUGUGAAAUAACUUAACUCAUAGGAAAGAUGGAAUUGUAACUUAUUAGGUUAGGUUGAGGAUAUGAGUAAUCAUAUCAUGAAGAAAAUUGGGGUUGUGGAUAAUACAGAGGAAUAGGACAAGGCAUGAUGGAUGGCUCACAAUUCAAGAAUGUUCAAAGUAAGUCUGCUUGGGACUUAUUGAGAAUUCCAGAAAAUGAAAAAUAAGAAUUCAAGUUCAUUUAGGAAAAAGGGAUUCCAUUUAAGGUCUAUUUUAUUCUAUGGAGACUAUGGAAAUAAAAGGCUCCCUAUUGAAGAAUUUCUAAUGAAGAUAGGUUUGGAGGAAGUGAUAAGAUGUUGUUGUUAUGAUACCUUAACCAUAGAAUCUUAUUAGCAUUUAUUCAUUAAUUGCUUAGUGGAUGUCAGAAUUUGAAAAUCUUUUGCAGCAGUUGCAGAGUUGCAGGGCCUAUUUAUUCAAAUAAAAAACAGUAUCUAUAAAUGGUGAAAUGUUAAUUGUGUGGCCAAAUUGAGCCUUUUAUAUAAGAUUUUCCCUACUUUAUUUCUGUAGAAAAUUUAAAGAGGAGGAAUAUUGUAAAACAUGGGGCAAGAUUUCUAAAUACUAUAUGAUAAUGGAAAUUAACAGAUAUCUUCAUUACAUGGCACUUACAAGGUAUUCUUGGUUGAGGAAUAUACCAAAAAAUAGGCCUAUUCUAGUGAAGUUCUUUGAAGCUUAUAGUCCAACCAUUGAAUACAAAGUAUUAGGGCGGAGUUUUUCAAAAGAAGAGACUUACAAGUGAAACUCAGAUGAAGCACCCAAAGGUAAUUCGAUACAUAAUGCAAGUGUUUUUUAUAAGGAAUGAGGUUGGAGAUUUCAUUUAUGCAGAAUUUUCAAGGAUGGGAGAUAUUACAAGUUUAGAGGCUAAAAUUGUUGCUAUGAGAUGUGGACUGGAAUAUUGCAUUGAAAAUAAUUUAUUAUUAUGGUGUUAGAAACUGAUUGUAUAACUCUUAAGAAAAUUCUUGAUGGGAUUGGAAAUCCCAUGGUAGUUGGCUAUGAAAAUCAAGAAAAUCAGUAGUUUAAGAGAACAAGAAUAUAGAAGUGAAGCACAUAUUAAGGGAAAAAAGCAUGGAGACAGAUUUUUGCUAAUCGUAUUUUCUUUUAUGAUGGUACCUAAAGAUUAAUAUAUGUCCAUUUUCAGGAUGUACCCGAUAAAAGAAGAGCACUAAAAAGCAUGGAACAAAGUCAACUACCAAACAUAACAGUGACAAAGUGCCAAUAUAGGAAUUUUAUUAUUUAACAAUAAGAUAAGGCAGGCAAGAAUAUUCAUAUGCAAAAUCAGAAUACUAGGGUAAGCAAAGAAUCAACAUGACUAUAAAUACACAGUUGAACAUAAAAGUGAAAAGAAUUUGUGUGUACCAAGUUUAACUUCGAUUUGAGUUAGCACUGUCUUUAGCAAUGGUAUCAGCUCUUCAUGAGCUCAACCUGCUGAGAGUUUUAACUCAGAAAAAAGUUCAAAGCAUUGAAAAAUUUCUACUCAAAAGCUUAAAGAGUGUCUACUCAUAUUCAUCAAAGCAUGGACUAAUAACAUCUUCUAUGGAUUCUAAGUUUGUAAAGCUCAUCUUGCAGUUAUGAAAUUCUUAAGAAAUGCAUAGAUCAAAUUGGGCUCAUUAGCCAAGAGUAUGGAGAAAUUGUUUAUACCUGUGUAUUUUUUACCAGAUCUAUCAUAGUAGAGGUUCAAAGAAGUCUUCAUUUGGAUUGAAUUUCAUGGCAUUAGUGAGAUUUGCUGAAUGUCUUGGGAGAAAUCAAUCUAAAUCCCAAUUUUUGAUGGAUUCAGACUUAUAAAUUAUAAGGGAUAGAUGAUUUCUCUUAACACUCUUCUACUAGAACAUUAAACUUCGCUAAAUAGGAAGAAUCAUUUGAAAAUGAAGUUUCUCGAGAUCGCUAUUUAGCUGAGGAUGGUUCUAAGUGCUACUUUUCUUUUUCUUCUUUCCUUUUUUGGCCAUAGAUUAGAAUAGAUUUUGUUUAAUUUUUUUAUCUGGAUCGGAUAUGAUAGUUUUAGACCUGUCUGGUUGGGCUCACUUUGUACAGACUUUUUUCCUUUUUGCAAAUAAAUGACCUUUGCCUAACUUUAAUUCAAAAAAUGGGUAAUGAUUCUAUUUAAACAAGGAUGGGAGUAAGAGAGUGUGUAAGUAGGUUUUUAGAUAAGUUUAAAAGGCAACUUACAUUUUUUCCCUAUUAAACACAAAUAAAUCCCAAAUAAAUAGGACUAAAGUGUCCAAAAAAUUGGUCAUUUGAAUGUUGGAAUGAAAAAGAAAGAUAGAUCAAUUGUAUUCUCCCCUAUUAAACACAAAUAAAUCCCAAAUAAAUAGGACUAAAGUGUCUGUAGAGUUAAAAUGAAUUACUAAUUUAAUAUUUUAAACUUAAAGUUUAUAUGUUUGAAAACUAUAUGGGAAAUACGAGACGUUGUAAUCCUUUUAUAUUGAAAGAAUGAAUAAAUAUAUCUUCAAAUAUUUGGUCAAAAUUCGUAUAAUUUGCCUCUCGAGAAACGAACUGUAACAAGUGAAAAUAAAUAAAAGGAAUAGAAGUGAAUCCAUAUUUAAAAAAAAAAAAAAAAAAAAAAAUGUUUUUGAACUUUUGGGGCAAACUGAAAUAUAAAACUCUAUGAAAGAUGUCAGGGCGCUCUCUAAAAUUCAAUUUAGGUUUGACAGUGGAGUUUCUUUUUCCAAUAUCUCAUACCUGCAUCAAUCAAUGUCUUUAAUGUACAAUGACAUCUUCUCUUCUCUGGUUUCUGACAUCAAAUCCUACAACGGCAAAGACCCUCUUCUCCCUUGGCUCCGGUAAGCAUCCUUCAAACAAUACUCUAAAUUCUCUUGAAUCGGUUCUGAUUAUUAGCACGUAUUUUUUGUAGAGGGAUAAAGAAAAUGAAAGAGUCACUUCCUCCGCAGCUGCUUAAGGAGAAACUCCCACGAUUUCUUCAGAAAUGUGCACAGACUUUUGAGACCGAUCGCCGCUAUACUAAUGAUAUGCGUUAUCUUCGAGUCUGGUUACAACUGGUAACUUUCUUUUGUUAGUUUUGUUUUUUUCACUGGAUCAUUCUUUCUAUUGGUGAUCUCGUCUGCCUCUUUUUCUUUUUAUCUGGGGACUGGGGUGUCCUAUCUGAAUUUAUUGAAGAAAUUAUAUUGGUUAUACCUUGCUAAUAUUUAAUACUUCUAAAUAAACGAACAAUUUCCUUGAUUUGCUUUACAUUUUGAGUUAAUAAUUACUCUCAUUCACAUUUGAUUUUUUGUUUGUAUAGAUAGACUACGUUCAUGACCCAAAAGGGGUACUUAAAACCAUGGAGUUGAAUCAAAUCGGGAUAAAAAAGUCUCUGUUUUACCAAGCAUAUGCUCUUCAUUAUGAAAAGGUUAAAAAGUUUGAGGCUGCAGAGAAGAUGUACCAUUUGGGCGUGCAGAAGUAAGUAACUUAUACUCCUACCUAAUUGUGAUUUUAUAUUUAUUGGGUUAUUAGUCUUAAGAAUUCCUUUACUUAGCAUUCUUCUUGCAUCCAAGUACUUUUUUAUUAUAGAAAUUCAGUGAAAGAGCUAUUGACAAAUGCUAUGUAUUGAUCAUCUCACAUUCAGUUCAAUCGACAUUCCAAAUUGUUGUCACAUUUCAAUGGAAAAAAGUCGUCAUUGAUUUGCUUUUGUUUAGGGAUAUCUCAAGAAAAGGGGAGCCUUGGAGCAAUGGUAAAGUUGUGUCUGUGUGACCUAUAGGUCAAAGGUUCGAGUCAUGGAAGCAGCCACUAAUGCUUGCAUUAGGGUAAGAUAGGCUCUAUCUACAUCAUUGAGGUGCAACCCUGCUAAUGCAGGAUGCUUUGUGCAUUGUGCUGCGCCCUUCUUUUAUGUGUAUCUCAAGCCAUAUUACUCUCAAGGGGUAUGUUAACCCUUUUAGAGAACUUAGUUCAAGGGGUAUGUUAACCCUUUUAGAGAACUUAGUUCAUUGUCAUACGUAGUGAAGGUUAGUUAUCCUUCCAAAAGUGCACUGCUAUCCUAGGGUGCAAACCUAAUGUGACCCUCAGCCAAAUUGAUUAUCCUAAUUGUAAACACUUUCUCCUUGAGUUAUGAAUAUUUGAUACGCUAGAAGGUCCGGUAACAGUUUGUUUCCUACGGCCAAUGUUGUUGGGGACAUGACAAGCAGUAAUAGCGCAGGUGUAUGUCUUUGCACCAUUAGUUUUGGCAAUUUAAGUUGAUUCACUUUACUUGCUUCUUAGGAGGUUAUCUGAACUUUCUUGUGCAAAGUUGCACUAUUGUGUAUUUUUUUAGAUAUGUUUUCAAAUUCUAAAGCAACAUUAUUCCAUAGAGCUAUUUAGAAGAGAAGUGCCAUCAGGUGCACAAUGUUAUUUCUUACACCUUUUCCCUCCAUGAGUUAGGGAUAUAUGUGUGGCUUUCCUUUCUAUUAAUCCUUUUCAAUUGCAGGGCCCUGUUAUCAGAGUCCUAACAAAUUGUCUAUUCUUUUAAUUUAUGGAAUCCUUUUUUCUUUUUAUCAUUAUCUGAUUGCAACAACUUAACUAGGUAAAACCCCCUUUCCCGUUGCUUAAUUAUUUAAAUAGUGUGACCUAGUUUAUGUUGGUUGUGUCUUUUUCCACUAAACGCAUGGCAGUUAUGGAAACAAGUGUUUUCAAAUGUUGCUUAACAGAUUUCUAUUUCAUUCUUCAAUGAACAGGCUUGCUGAACCAUUUGAUGAUUUACAUAAUUCAUAUGAGCAGUUCCUUCAUCGCAUGGAGCAGCGUAAGAAUAAGAGGAUACAGGUUGGUUAUAAUGGUCAUAUUUGUCUAUCAAAUAUCUUCCUUUUGCUUAUAUGAGCCAUUAACUAAUAAUAGAAAUACUCUCUGCAGCGCCAGGAAGGGAAAAAUAAAAUAUAUUCUCUUGGUGCUAAAAAUAUCACUUUGACUAACAAUGAGAUUAAGGAAAAUAAUGAGAAUUUAAGUGGAAAUGAAAACAAUCCCGUCAUCGCCAGGGAUCAGUUACCCAAUGUACGAUCCAAGCAUUUAAAUAUGAAAAAUGAGGUUGCCAUUUCACAGGGCUCCAGGAGAGAGUCGCAAAUGAACGAAACUACUCAUGAUGGUCCAGCCCUUCAGAAGGAACUCAGGAGUGACCUCAGGCUAAAAAUUUGUGGUGGAGACACUGUAGAAGCAGAUAGAUGCCGAAAGUUUACUGGUGAAGACACAGUCGUAGCUAAAUUUGUAGGUAAUGCCGUUGUUGGGAAGUCUGAUGUCGAAGAUGCACGACAUCAUGGUCUGGUGGAACCUACCAUUAAUACAAAGGAGGCCAUACAUGCCAUUAAUAGCAUGUUUCGAGAGCCAUUAGAGCCAUCUCUUGCAGACAAACAUUCGCGUAGAAACCAGCCAAAAGUUGAUCAGAGAUCAAACAAUGGUUUUGAGGUAUUUCUUGACGAAAACACUGAUAGUGCUGCUGGAUCUUCUCACCAAGGCUUGGCAAAUGGUUCAUCAGUGCCACAAAGCAACAGAGUUGAGACUCAAAAGCCCAUGCAAGAGCCAUUUCAGAUAUAUACUGAUGGUGACGACACCAGUGAUGUGAGAGAGGGAGUUCAUCAGAUGGAUAAAUUGGAUACUGGUUGUACUAUUGGAGAUGGGAUCGUGAAAGGUUUUGUUUUUCCAAGUCCAACUGAUGUUACUUCAGAAUAUUCUAGAGAUCCAAUUGUUGAAAGGCCUCCUCAAGGAAGACUCCGUAGGGAGGACACGGUUGUAUAUAAAUUUGUUGGUUCCACCAUUUCAGAAGAUUCAGCGGUUGAAAAUGUUUGCCAUCAUGGCCUUGUAGAACCAACAAUUAACUUGAAGGAGGCUAUGGAUGAUAUUAAUAGCAUGUUCGGAAGGCCAAUUGAGUUUACAAGGAAAAGCAAGCCGAAGAAGCAGGGAUUAGCUCCUAAGAUGGAGCGAGAUGGCAGUAGGUUCAUGAUACUUCCAGAUGAUGAGCCACACCAUCAACCUAAGAGUUCCCCGCCAACUUUGUCUUCAAAAAUGGAUUAUGACUUGUUUGAGAAAACUAUGUGCACACAGGAGGCAAUGGAUGAAAUAAAUAAAAUGUUUGCAAUGCCAUUGGAUUUCUAAGAUGCUGGUAAAGUCUUAUUUUUUCUUUCAAGCUUUUAAUUUCUUCUCUAUUUUCUUUAUAUAUAUUAUCCUAUAUAAUAAGUCACAAUAAGUGGCUGAAGCAGACUGCUCAUGGUCGACAUGCCUGCUUCAGCUGCUUCAACUGUGAUUUUACUAUAUUACUCCUAAUUAAUUUGUAUAAGUCAUUUAUGUAUUAAAAAAUUAAAAAUAUUUAAUAAAAAAUUUAAAAUAGACAUUUAUGACAUGACUUUUUCAGCUGCUUCAACAGUGAUUUUACUAUAUCACUCAUAAUUAAUUUUAUAAGUCAUUUAAGUAUUAAAAAAUUAAUAAUAUUUGAUAAAAAAAUAGACAUAAAAUAAUAAAUUAUUUUUUGAUGUUUUUAUAACUGAAUGUAUUAAAAAAUUAAUAAUAUUUAAUAAAAAAGAUAAAAUAGGCAUAAAAUGAUAAAUUAUUUUUUAAUGUUUUAAAUUAACUUGACGUCUUAUAUGAGACCACUUAAAAAAAAAUCACGAGUAUUUACUAUAAUAAUUUUACUAUGUCACUUCUAAUGAGUAGAAUAGAAGAAAAAAUAUUAUAAAUCACAAUAAUUAAAAACUUAGAUUAUUUGAACAACCUAAAAUAUUGUUAUACAAAUUUCAUCAAUCUAAAUAUAAUAAUAUAUGCCUAACUUAGAAUUUAUCAAUCAAACAAAUGAAGCUUUUAAUUAAAUGAUAGAAUUGUAUAUAACGUAGAAUUUUUAAGGUUCAACAUUGGGCCGUGCGUAGCACGGCGUCAACCGACUAGUAUGUUCUAUAUUUUGUGGUGUAGAUGCCUACCAUUUGGGGGGGAGCAGUUUUAAUAUGAAAUACUCAAUUAUGAAACGGAGCAAAAUGUUAGCGAAAAGGAAAAUUUAUGCUCAAGACUCUUAUGAACACACUAAACCAGUAAAAAGAUCAAAACGUAAAAGUACUUGGUGGAAAUCAAUUAAUAUUCUGGUUUAGGAGGCAGUAAGCUGGCCGGAAAGCGAAGGGGCCUGCAGCAUAAAUUACAGCCUCAUAAUUACUCCACCUCAAUUUUUUGUCUAAAAAUCGGAGUCGAGCACCGGUGAUUCCAUAGUUGACAUUAGUGAACACACUGCAGUUUUCAAGAGGAGAGCCGACCAGUUUUACGCGGCAUGAAUGUAGAGGAUGGUCAAGAUAGGAAUGUCCCAUUUUGAAGCCAUCCAGCGGUGCAAAUAAGUAGCCAUUUUCAUCUGUUUUAAAUGCCUUGUAGAAGCUCGUUCUUUUCAUGUAAUUUUUGCAGAUAACACUAACUUUAGCUGCUGCAAUGGACUUAGCUCCUGACAGAGACCAUGAUCCGUAGUUAUCACAGCUCUGGCAGUAGACCAUGCCUUCAACCACCACUUGAGCAGUUUUCUCUACAGACUUGGCUGGCACGUUGUCAUAGGCGGUCAUCGGUGGAAAGGCUAAUGCAAGGAGCAACGAGGUGAUCAGGACAAGUUGGCUGCUUGCCAUUUCUUGGAAAAUGUUGAGCUUAUGUCAGUUUUGGAAUGUUAUUCUGCUUCGAGGUCAAGUUCAUCUGAGUUAGAUUCCUAUAUAUAGUUUUUGUCAAGAACGUGAAUGCUACUAAAUCAUGUUUGUUGAGUGCGUAUUGAUCAUCAAUAGUCUCCAGACGUGGUGACCAUCUUCAGCAGUUCAUAUUUUGUAUAAUAGUUUAUGAGCAUCAAUCUGUUGUGUCCACUAUAUUCUUCUACGUGCAAAUUACUUACCCUUCUAUUCCUUCUCCUACUACUGUUUGUACUACUCGGGCACUGCUGCCCCAAUAUCAUGUAAUGAAUACUAUUAACUAUUAAUAAAAGAAAAAAUUAUCACAUAUAUAAUUAUUAGAUUGAAAAUUAUAAAUUUUAGCAACACUUUUAGAUAAAUGCAUUAAUGACUUUUUCAUUGCAAGUUAUAGCAACUUUUUAAAAUAAAUAUUAUUUUUAUUGUAUUUUUGAAAUUUAAUUUUUAAUUAUCUAUUUUAAAAUUAAUUCCAUAUUUAUAGGGUUGUAAUCAAUUUUCUCCUGUUUAUUGAUAAUUAUGAUAAAAAUAUAUUUAUAUUUUAUUUCAAAAGUUUACCUACUUUUCUGAAACAAUCUUAUUAAAAGAAGAAGUUUAUUAUGACGUAAAAAACUUUUUCAUACUCAAGCUACAAAACUUUAUUGAAACUCUUUUCUCCAUUAACAUAUUCAAGUUUUUUGUUGAAAAAAACAUUGGGGUUUACUAUCUUUUUUUUUUUAAUCUGUUUGGGGUUUUUCAUCUUUCAUUGUAAUAUGUCUGAAUUCAAAUUUGAUUUCACUCCUUCGUUUGAUUUAAGUUGUUUCACUCCAUCUCCUCUAUCUAAAUGUAAAAAUAGAUUGUUGAAAGUGGGUCUUACAUCAAGAAGUAAAAUCAGUGCUUGCCCGAUAAAAUUAAAGUUUCGUUUGUUGGUGAACCAUCCAAGAAGCUCAAUUUGAACAUGCAUAUUGAAAAAAAUCUCAACAAAAAGGUUAUUACUCCUCAAGAUAAGAGAAAUUAUAAGAGAAAGAAUAUGGUUAGUGAGCAAGUGUCAGACUCCGAUUUUGAGGAUGAGACUCCAUUACUCAAACCCCAAAAAAUCAAGUGUGGACGCAUACACAGACAUAGAUAUUAUAUUUUGAUGUUUAAUUAUUUGGUUAUUACUGUUUGUUUUUCUAAGAUUAUUGGUAUGAACAAAGUUUAGUUUUUUUAUUUAAGUAGUAUUUAUAUAAUGUUAUGCUACUUUAACAUUUGUUUCGUAUUUUACUUCGUUGAAUGACAUUGAUAUGAACUAAGUUGCAUCAAAUGGUAUUAAAUUUGAUAUCAACUACAUCAAAAUAUAUAUUUUUUGAUUCUGCAAUUAGUAACAUUUGACAUGAAUAUUAUAUUUUGAUGUUUAUUUGUGGUCAUUACUCUUUGUCUUUCUAAGAUUGUUGGUAUGAACAAAGUUUAGUUUUGGUAUUUAAAAUAGUAUUCAUAUAAUGUUCUUCAUCUUCUUCUGCCAGAAAGCAAACACCAAUAUAAAUCAUGGCUAAUACUGAUUAUUUUUUUAUUGCAACUAAAAAUUAUUUGACAUCAAACAAUUAUCAAUUAAUUUAUUUUCAACAUGUAUGGUGAUAGUUUUUCAUUUAAUAUCCAUUACAUACACUAAAAAGGUUAUGUAACAUAAAAUAUAAUUUUUUUUAUCGAUUGUCACAUUCAUAAAACUCAUUCAAUACAAAUGUAUGUGACAUAUGCGAAAAUUCACCGAUAUCAAUUUUAAUAUCAAUUUAAUACAUUGAGAACUCAAAAAAAAUCUACUUAAGUAUGAAAUGAGUAUAUAAACUGGUCUCAAUGCAAUUUAUUAAAUAAUUCAUGAAUAUUAUAUUGUGUACUAUACUAAUUUCAUACACUAGUGUCAAUGUGAAAGCAGUUAUGUCCGUUCCAAUACAUAGGUCGUUAACAUUUCAAUAACGUAAUUUUAUAUCUCAAAAUAAUGUUCUUUCUGGAUUCAAGUAUGUAUAAGUUAUGGUAUACACUAAAGCUAUUCAAGUAAGCCUGUCAAACGGGCCGGGUUGACCCGACCCAACUCGACCCAAACUGGCCCAUUUAAUGAAACUAGCCGGGUUUGACUCGGCCCAGUAAGCCCAAGGGCUUUAGGGUACUGGGUCCCAGGCCGAUUUUCUUUUGUUUUGGCCUGGUUAAUCCGGCCCGGACCCAACCCGGUUGGGGCCCGCCGAUUAACCGACCCGGCCCAAUUUUUUUUUAAAGAAAAAAAAAUUGGAUUUUGGGCCAAACUAGCCAUUGGCCCAACGGCUAUAUAGCCGUUUUUGGAUCCAAAUGGCUAGUUUGGGCCCAUUAAUUAAAAAAAAAUUUACUUUUUAAUCCCAAAAAAAUUUCUAUAAAUACCCUACACCUUCAAAUCAUUUUUCACACAAUUUUUAAUUCUCUCAAAUCUCAUUCUCUGUCAAAUCUCAAUUCUCAAAUAUUCUAUAAAUUUAAUUUCCUAAAGUGCUCACUUUAAUUUUUAAAUUUUGCGAUUACAAAGUACGAGUGGAAGUUUCUAAAGUCGCAACCUUCGGAUACUUUCAAAAGUUGGUAUUGUCGUUCCAUCUCUUACUUUUAAUUUUAUUUAGUGUAUUAAUUGUUGAAUAUUUAAUUUUAUUAUAUUUGUGUAUUUUGAAUAUUUUUAGUUUAAUUUAUAUUAUGGAUAAAUUAAGAAACCUCGCUACUAAAGCUGUUAAAAAAUUUUGUCCCGGAAGUGGUAGUGGUAGUAAAAAGCGAAUUACUAGCGGUAGAGGUAGUUCAAGUAGUAGAUAUAUCUGUGUGCUUCCGACACCGCUUAGUCAACCUUUUGAGGAAGAAGUAGGUGUACCUUUANNNNNNNNNNNNNNNNNNNNNNNNNNNNNNNNNNNNNNNNNNNNNNNNNNNNNNNNNNNNNNNNNNNNNNNNNNNNNNNNNNNNNNNNNNNNNNNNNNNGAGGUGCAAUGCAAUAUUUAUCAACAAAUAUAUAAGCAUAAAAGCGGAGGCAAGUAAGGGGGUACGGGUACGUUAAUGAGACAUAUAGGUGAUGCUCACGAAAGAGAGUUAAAUAUUGCAUGAGGUGGUGGGGAUGUUGGUUGGCCAACGCAAAUGGACCCAGAAACCAGUCAGGUAACGAGGAAAUAUAAUAAAUUGAGGGACCGGAAAGAAAUAGCUAAAAUAGUAGCUGUGGGUUGAUUGUCUUUCAGUUUUACUUCUUCUGAUGCCUUUAUUUAUUAUAUUCAAGCAAUUUAUAACCCUAUGUUUAAUGGUGUUCCUAGAAGUACUUGUCGAUCUGAUAUUUUUAGACUUCAUUCACAAUAUUAUUUUUAUUUAUCAACAUUGUUAAAAGAUAUUCAAUGUAGAUUGUCCCUAACUUCUGAUCUCAGUCGUGCUGUAAAUAAAAAUGAUUAUUUAACCGUUACUUAUCACUGGAUGGAUAGUAAUUUUGUGAUGCAAAAACAUAUUCUUGCUUUUUUAUAUGAUGAAGAUCGUAAACAUACUGGAGAUUUUAUUGCUGAUUCUAUUGUUCAAGUUGCCGGAUUUUAUGGUAUCGAAAAUAAAAUUUUAUGUAUUGCUUUUGAUAAUGCUUCUAACAACAAGACUGCUAUAAAAAAAUUAAAAUCUAAGCUAUCUUCGCCGUUGACUGAAAUUUUUCAUAUUAAAUGUGCAUGUCCUAUAUAUAAUUUAAUUGUAAAAUAUGGUGUUGAGCUUUUUGACCUUUAUAUUGAAAAAAUUCGUCUUGCUGUUUGUUUUAUUCAAGAAAAUAAUCGAAGAAAAAGAAUUAUAGAAUUUAAAGUUAAAUGUCAAGAAAAUGGACUUGCAUCGAUAUAGAUGCCUGAGGAAAUUGUUAUUAGAUAAAAUUCUACGUAUAAUUUUUUAAAAAUUUGUUAUAAAUAUAGAGUUCCUAUUACACUGGCUUUUAAUCAACAUUGCAAUUCAUUUACUGAUUUUUCUGAUUACAUGCUACAUGAUUCUGAUUGGGUUGUAAUUAAUGAUCUUGUUAAGUUUUUAUAAAAAAUUUAUGUAGCUACGAUUGAAUUUUCCGGUGCUUAUUAUCCUACUGUUUGUAACAUUUUGGCAUAUAUAGCCGAUAUUUCUGGUUUGCUCAAAGAAUAUAAAAAUAAAGAAGGUUAUAAAGAAGCUGUUGGUGCCAUGUUUACUAAAUUUAAAAAAUAUUUUUUUUCGAUUCCACAUAUUUACUUGGUUGGUGUUAUGCUAAAUCUGUGCAUGAAAUAUAAUACUAUAUGUCACUUUAGUACUAUUAUUUAUGCUAAGUUAGAAAUAAAUACUAACAAUGAUUCUAAACAAGAACAACCUGAUUUGUGGACGGCUAUGGGUGAUGCGAAUGAAUACAUAGAAAAAUUAUAUAAUCACUAUGCUGAUUUAUUUUAUUUAGCCGUACCUACAAAUAUCACUCCAAAUGUCGUUCCUCAUCCUCCCAAGGAGCCAUCAUAUUCUAAAAGACCGGCACAUAGUGGUUUUCCUGAUUCCUUUUAUGAUUUACCUUGUUGGAACAGUGCUGAUAACAGAUCUUACACAUCAACUUAUCGAAAAGAGAUGAAAUAUUAUCUUCGGUCGCCGCCAGAGGAUCGCGUACGACGGAUCAACACAUUGGAUUAGCGGAAGAGUAAUGAAACUUAAUAUCAUGUGCUUUCAAGAUUAGCUGGAGAAUUCUUGAAUGUUCCAAUGUCAACCGUUGCAUCAGAGAGCGCCUUUAGUCAAGGACGACAGCAGCUUAGAGACAACCGACACUCAUUGGAAAGAAAUGCAAUGAAUAUUCUAAUUUGUCUCAGAGAUUGGAUUAGAGCGGAAAGAAGAAACCAAGGAAUGAAACCGGAGCCGAACGACGAGCUGAAACUUGAAGAAAUUAUGUCUUCACGGGGAAGCUCAGCAGAAUCAAGUCCAAUACAUGGUUUUGCCCCUGUUGACUUUGACUAUCCUAUGCAAGUUCCCGUUAAUAUUAACAUGAAUGAGUUGGAAAAAAUGAUGCAUAAUUUGUAGAUUUUUCAUUCAUGUAAAUUAUAAAUUUUGGAUCAUUUCGCAAUCAAUAAAAUUCAACAUUCAUUCACUCCUUAGUCCUUACUUUGUAAUUUUUUUCAUUUAAUGAUUUAAAUUGAAUUUCUACUUUAAAUUAAAAACUUACUUCUAAUAUAUUAUUAAUUUACUACCAAGUAUUAUUAAUUUAUUAUAUUAAGUAGCAUAUGUUUUGUAUAUUUGUGUAUAUAUCUUCUAUAGAUGUGUAUAUUUAAUGUAUACAUGUGUAUAUGUUUUAUAAAUUGCAUAUAUAUUGCAGUGUGUGUGUAUAUACAUACAUACAUACAUACAUACAUACAUACAUAUAUAUNNNNNNNNNNNNNNNNNNNNNNNNNNNNNNNNNNNNNNNNNNNNNNNNNNNNNNNNNNNNNNNNNNNNNNNNNNNNNNNNNNNNNNNNNNNNNNNNNNNNNNNNNNNNNNNNNNNNNNNNNNNNNNNNNNNNNNNNAUAUACAUAUAUAUAUAUAUAUAUAAUAUAUAUAUAUAUAUAUUGUAGCAUAUGUUUUAUUUAAAAUGGUACAUAUAUAUUAAAUGGUGCGUAUAUGUGUAUAUAUAUCUUCUAUAGACAUGUAUAUUUAACGUAUACACAUGUAUAUGUUUUAUAAAUUCGCAUAUAACUAUAUAUAUAUAUAUAUUGUAAUGUAUAUAUAUUGUAGUAUAUUUUAUUUAAAAUAGUACAUAUAUAUUGAAUGGUGCGUAUAUGUGUGUANNNNNNNNNNNNNNNNNNNNNNNNNNNNNNNNNNNNNNNNNNNNNNNNNNNNNNNNNNNNNNNNNNNNNNNNNNNNNNNNNNNNNNNNNNNNNNNNNNNNNNNNNNNNNNNNNNNNNNNNNNNNNNNNNNNNNNNNNNNNNNNNNNNNNNNNNNNNNNNNNNNNNNNNNNNNNNNNNNNNNNNNNNNNNNNNNNNNNNNNNNNNNNNNNNNNNNNNNNNNNNNNNNNNNNNNNNNNNNNNNNNNNNNNNNNNNNNNNNNNNNNNNNNNNNNNNNNNNNNNNNNNNNNNNNNNNNNNNNNNNNNNNNNNNNNNNNNNNNNNNNNNNNNNNNNNNNNNNNNNNNNNNNNNNNNNNNNNNNNNNNNNNNNNNNNNNNNNNNNNNNNNNNNNNNNNNNNNNNNNNNNNNNNNNNNNNNNNNNNNNNNNNNNNNNNNNNNNNNNNNNNNNNNNNNNNNNNNNNNNNNNNNNNNNNNNNNNNNNNNNNNNNNNNNNNNNNNNNNNNNNNNNNNNNNNNNNNNNNNNNNNNNNNNNNNNNNNNNNNNNNNNNNNNNNNNNNUGUAAUUGUGUAUAUGUGUAUAUAUUUUUUAAAUUCAAAUGUAGUAUAUACUAUAUAUAUAGUGUAUAUAUAUUUUUUAACGUAUUUAAAAUGUUUAUAGGUGGGUAUAUAUAGUGUAUAUUGAAAAAAAGUUUUUAUUUUUAUUUUUGACUGGGUUUGAUCGAAUUUUUAAUUGGGUUUGACCGGAUUUAGAUGAGUUUGACCGGGUUGGGUUAAGUAGGCAGGGUUAGGAUUGUUUUUAAAAAGUUUAUUGUUGAGACCGGGCCGGCCCGACCCACUUAAACCCAACCCGGACCCGUCCCACAACCCAAAUAAUUUUAACGGGCCGAUUCCGGAUUGACCCGGCCCGGCCCACUUAACACUCUUAAUUUCAAGUGUAUGAUUUGAAUUUCUUUCUGUGAACAUAUAAACAAAGUAUAUGUAUUGUUCACUGUUAUCCUUUGCGUAUCGGAUGUGUUGCAACUAAUUCUAUGUUGCUUUAUGUGUAUUUCUAAUACACCAGAAAUAUUAUAUCGAACUUGAUUCUACUCAAAGCAAUCGGAAUAACAUUAUGAAAAAUGAUUAAUGUAUGAAACAUAGUCGAAUGAUGUUUUUGAUAUUUGAUUUCGUAUGCAUUUGAUAUAUGAAAUAUUGAUUUUCGAACAGUUUUAAAUAUAUUAAAACAUUAAUUAACUUAAAUAAAUCCCUCCAUGCAUUACAAGCAAUAUGUAACAUAUCACCAUCAAUUAGAUCGAUUAAAGAUAAAGUUAUAUCAGAAUUUUUUAAAAAGAAGAAAGGAAAAAUUAGAAGAAAGUGAAAUUUUGAUUAAGGAGAACAAAUUGUUAGUUGAAUUUUGAUUUUGGAAUAAUACAAUAGUUUGCAAAUGUAGUAGUAGAAAAUUACACUUAAAUUAGAAAAUUUUCUAAAAGAAGAAGAGAAACUUUGAAGAAACUAUAAUUUUGAUGAAGUAGUAGAAAUCAUUGAUUGAAUUUUUUUUUUUUUGAAAGAAGAAAUCGUCUUUAUGUUAAUAAAUUUGGAAUAAAAUCGUUUUAGAGAGGAUUAAGGAAUGAUGAUAUCUACCAUAACUGUAAUCCCCUUUUUAUAGGUAUGUAAUAUAUUUUUCAUAUAUUAAAAUUAAUUUUUUCUUAUUUUUAAUCAUUAAAAAAAAUGCUUUUUCUUUUAUAAAUGAUUUUUUCCUAUAACUUCAAAAUUGAAAAUAUUGCUAUAACUUGCAAUUUUCAAUCUAAGAAAUGUUAUUUAGGUUUUUUUUUUUUUUUUUCCAAAUUCCACUUUUACCAAAAAAAAAUAAAAAUACUUACCCUCCUUAUAACAUGUAGGUUAUGAGAGCCAACCUCCUAGAAAAUUUAGUGAGAAGGGCUGAGGAUUACCAUUAUAGUUAGGGAUGUACAGACCAAACCGUCAAGUCAAACCAAAUCGAAGAAUCGAACCAAACUAAAUCGAGAAAAAAAACCGACUUAUGGUUUGGUUUGGUUGGUUUGGCGUUUGAAAAAGAAAAAUCGACCAUUCUUGGUUUGGUUUGGUGUUAACCAAAAAAAAGUCAAACCGAACCCCAAUCAAACCAACAUAAUAUAUAUAUAUAUAUAUAUAUAUAUAUGCAUGUAUAUAAUUUAACUUUUUAUACAUAAAAUAUUAAUUAUAAUCUACUUUUUAAAUACUUUUUCAAUUAGUUUUAUUAAUUUUCAAUAUUUAGAAAGUAGAUGUGUGUGUGUGUAUAUAUAUAUAUAUUUAUUUAUAUUUGGGCCUUUAAGUUGUAAUAUUUAUCCAUUAAUUGCUAAUAAAAUGAUCCAAAAUUCAAUAUAAACUUAAAACCUAAACUUUUCACUCUUCAUCUUAUUUUUUUAGUUUCAAGAAAGUUUUUCGCUCCUCAAUUUUUUAUAAUUGUGAUUUUUCAUUAGCACAUGGGUGAAAAUAUACUUGAUCUAAACUUCAAUUACAAUAUAAUUGUAAAAAAUAAAGAUUAUAAAAAAAAACAAAAAAAAAAACGAAAGGACCGACUAAAACCUAAACCGGAAAAAUCGAUUUUAUGAUGGUUUGAUUUGGUUUAUAGUUUUAAUAAACCGACAUAAUUGGUUUAAUUUUUUUUCAAUAGAAAACCAAAUCAACCCGACCUAUGUACACCCCUAAUUAUAGUUAUCUCAUCUAAAGUGUCAUGCCAAUAAACGAAAAUAACGUUUUUUUUUGUUGGUAUUUCAUAAAGUUAAUCAAAUUAUUAAUUAGUAAGUAAUAUCACAAUAAAGAGAACAAAAAUUAUCUUCUUCAUGAAAUUAUUGUUAUACCAGAUAGAAAAAAUAAUUUUAGUCUCAAGUCCAUAUUCAUACUGAACAAACUAACGCGCACUCGUAUCAGUUCAUGGAGCACCUCAGCAAACAUCGUUGCAAUCUAUCAAUUAUUUUGCUUGUGUAGCAAAUACUAAGGGGUUGUUUGGUUUGAAAACAAGUUAUACUAGGAUUAGUUAUGUUGGGAUAAGUUAUGCUGGGAUUAGUUGUCCUGGAAUAAGUUAUCUUGGUAUUAUUUUUUAGUGUUUGGUUUGUGGUACUAAAAAUAAUAUGUAGUGUAUUAUUUGUAAAAAUAUAUUGUUUGUUUACUAAAAUACCCUUCACUUUAGUUUAACUUAAUUAUUUUUGGUUUCAUUGGGGCUGAAUAAUUUUAAAAUGCACAAUCAAAUAGCAAUUGAGACAAACUAUUUGAAAAAGAAAUUGAUAAUAAAUACAUUUGUCAUUGUUUGAUAAUCACUAUGCUUCACUACUUAACAAGCUUGAUCAAUAUGCUUUUCGAUAAGAGUAUAAAAAUGUAAAUUAGAAAAUGAAAUGCAUGCCAUUCUACCAAUUCAAAGCAACUACCAAAACUUUUUGCGCUCACAAAUAGCAAUUCAUGUGCUAGAGUUCAAUACGUAUGCACGAUAGAGUUGUUUAUAAUGCACAGGUCAAUUCUUCUGGGCUAAAGCAGCUGCAAUUCCACCAACCAAAACUCCACAGCAGCAGUAGCAAUGCCGAUGCCAAUAACUCCAUCUGUUUCAGACAAAGCGAAAUGCAUAAGAACUGAAAUGAGAUACGACAAGAAAUGACAUUGAGAAUUCUGUUUUGCUACCUUUGGUAAUUUUUUCUUCGAUUUUUUUCUUGAGGGUUAAGGCUUGCCUCCAAUCUAGUGCAAUCUGCAAAUUUACUAAUUUAGGAGAAAUGAAAAACUGUCAUGCCAAUAACAAUGACGUGUAGGUAUGUGAAUAAUAAAAGCAUCAGAAUUGCACAAAUGCAGUUCAAGUAAGGAUAUUUUUGUCUUUUUAUAAUUUCAUACCAAGGAUAAAUUAAGUUGGGAUAGUAAUCCCACCAUAUCCAUGGAUAACUUAUCCCGGGACUAAUUAUUAGUCCCGAAAUAAGUUAUCCCAAAUAUUGACAACCAAACGAGUGGUUAAAAUUUUUAUUCCGAAAAUAUUAUUUUAUUCAGAGAUUAUUUACUUUCAUACCGCAAACCAAACGCCCCUAAAUCCAUAAGAUAAGACAUUCUAUACCAGUAUGAAGCUAACAACUUGGAUGCUGGAGACACUAAUCCAAUCAGAAGUUACCACGUAAGGAGUUCGAAGUAUAAUUAGCAAAAUCAUCUAAAUCAGUCCAGCUGUACUAAUCUCUUUUGAGUUUUAUAUUCUUUUUGUUUAAUUAAGUGAUUAUUUCAAGAAAAUUAUUUGUUUUAUUAUUUCUCAUAGUCAAUCUAAUAAAAUAAUUAAUAAAAAGAAAUAUAUAGAUCAAGAUUACAUUUUAGGUGAACCACCACAAAGAUCAAAAAGAAAAAAAGAAAAGACAUCGUUUUACUGAUUAUUUACCCCUUUAAUAAUUUUGCAGUGAAUUAAAUACCACCCUAAAUAUAUAAUAUCACUCUUACCAUGGAGAGUGUAGUAUACACGCCACACAUCAGCGCCACAUCACCGUCAUAUCGUUGCCACAUCACAAAUAAUUUUAAAAAAAUUCUCUCUCUCUCUCUAUAUAUAAGAGAAAUCAAAGGUGAACUACAAAAUUAAAUAUUUGGACUUUUAGAAAACUCCAUUGAUGGAGUUCUAGAGCUCUUUCAGCGGUCAGACAAACUGCUAUUGCGGUAGCAAUUUAUUCUUUUUGUUGUGGCAUUUAUGGUGAGGUGGUGAGCAUUUUCUGAACCGAAUAGAGCUGCAUCAACCUUGCAAUUAUGAGUUUUUCAAUCUCUGAUCAUGAUCGUAAAUGCAAACCUAUAAAGCUCAAAGCUGAAUCUAGGUGGCCGAUUCUAAUCUUGACUAAGCCAUCAUCCAAUGAGUGCUAAAAUACUAAUUAUAUCAAUUUGCAGCUAGUGUGUGUAUACAUAUAAAAGAACACACAUCAAUGGGGGAGCUCGAAUUUUUCAGUGAAUUUUUGCGGGAAAACGCUAUCUCUAUUGACCAAACCAUCAAUCUUUUCACCCCAAGCUUGUUUGAAACCGGCAACCAAACUCAACCCGAUCGAAAAGUACCAUAAAUUAGUAACCAAAAAUUCACAAGAAAAUAUACGUACAAAAUUAAAUCAACACCACCACUACCAUUAACACCACCGUUAAUGACUUUUCUUCAAUUUUAGUUCCAUUCCAACUUUUCAAAUCCACAAAGAUAAAUUUUAAUUUUUCAAAUCCAAUUUCAAUUUUUUUUAAAACUGAUCUUAAGCCAAAUGGUUGAAGGAGGAGAAAUUGGAGGUGGGGGUAGUGGGUUUGGUAAUUGAAGGUGGAAAAAUUGGAGUGGGGGGCUGGUUAUGGUAGAUUUUAGGGGUGUGCAAAAUCGAACCGACCGAUAAAUCGAACUGAUAAAAAUGUUAUUGGGUUAACGAUUUUUUAAUGAUUUUAUAAAAAAAAUUAUUGGGUUAUUGGUUUGGUUCAGUUUCUUCUUAUUGGUUUAUUGGGUAAACCGAUAACCCAAUAAGAAUAUAUAUAUAUAUAUGACUUUUUAUAUAUUUCUCUUUAAUUUCUACAAAUUAAUAAACCUAUUAUUUCAAGUAUACAAACUCUUAAUUUCUCCUAACAACAUUUAGUUCAAACUUGAAGAUUCUUGUAAAUUAAAACGCAUCAUAUAGGAUUUUUGGUUGCAACUAAGAUUCAUUUUUUUUUUCAUGUUAGUUACUACUAUUUCUAUUUUAUGAGUAUUUUCUUAUCCGUUAAAUCAAAAACCGAACCGUUAAGAACUAAAAAUCGAUAAACCGAUAAAAAAUAUUUUAUUGGUUUGGUUAUUGGUUUAACAUAUUUAAAAACUGAAAACUGAUAAACCGAACCGAUAAUAUAUAAAAUCGAACCGAACCGACCGAUGCACACCCCUAAUAGAUUUGAUAGUUGAUGGAGUUGUGUGGUUGGGGUUGAUGGGUUUGGGGGUAGGAAUUAGGGGGUGCGGGCUAUUAGAAGAAGAAGGAGGGGAAUUUUUAGUUUUUUUUCUAAUAUAUAUAUUAGUGGAUUAUCUUAAAAAAAUAUAAUUCACGCAUUUUUUUUUCUUUUUCUUUUUUUUUUUAAUGUCACGUCAACAUUAAGUGUUGAAAUUAAUUCACUAAAAUUUUUUUAAGGAGGUAAAUAAAUGAAAGUACAAGUACUAAAAUAAGUUGAACGGAUAAGUUCAGGGUGAAAAGAUCUCUCUUCUCAAAGUAAAAAAACUACAUCAAAAUCAACAUAAAUCAUUUAUACUAACAGAAAAAAGCAACUCCACACAUGGAUCCAACUCUAACUUAACAAAUCGAAAAGUACAAUUGAUAUUUUUUCUUUCCCAUUCUGUAAAAGUGAAUGGGUGAGAUUACCUAAUUUUAGAUUAUAUCCUCACUAUUAGUUUUAGAUAGAAAUUUCAUCGAUCUAUUUGAUCUUCAGAAAACUUCUCAGUAGACUCAACCUAAUGACACAAGAGUUCAAAUUAUUCACAUUAAACAAGAUAUUCACAUGCAUUAAAAAGUGCAUAAAAGUGAAAUUACAAUAUCAUAUUACUUGAAGGUUUUAUUCCUAAACAUUCAUAAAGAGAUAGCAAUAUGCAGAUGCAAACGACAAUUACUAAAAUUAAAGUUUCAUAAAUUCAGAUAUUAAAGUUGUUUAACAGUUUGAGUAUAACUAAAGAUGUUUUGGAACCUAAAUGUUCCUUAUAUAUAGUAAGGUUUGACAAACUUUGCAGAACAUAACAUUCCAUCAAGCUAUUAGAUUACUUGAAAGAAAAUAGGGUGUUAUUUUGUCAAUAAAUCUUGAACUCUGAGGCUGACCAUAAACUUCGUUAGAUGAGACUGUACAACUUGAAUGAUGAAGGAGUUUUCACGAUAAUUAUCUAAAUCUAAUAAAUUAAUCAAAUAACUCCAAAUAUUAAAUCUAAUAAAUUAAUCAAAUAACUCCAAAUAUAUACUACUUCCGUAACUUUAAUCAACAUAGGUUCUAAUAUCAAUUUUAGGGAGUUGAGGAUAACUUUAAUAGAUCUAUUGUAGAUACGGAUCUAUUUUUAUUUAUGCGUGGAUAUUUCUUAACUUCUCUAAAUAUUUUUAUUUCAUUUAUGUUCAUAUCUUGGGAGUGAUUAAAUGGUAUUUGAUUAAAUAUUUUACUGUAGUAUUCUUUAGUUUUUUCUCUUAGCUUUGUGAUUCUUCUAUAUUAUUAUUUUUGAGGUAUUCUAAAUAAUCUAUAUCUUUUGUUCUAAAAUAUUCAAUUAAAUUCUCUUUCAUAAGCAUUUCUUCUAAUCUUAUUUCUUCCAUAUCUUGUCUCCAAUAUUUUAAAUACUCAUAGUUUAUCAUUUUAUUCUAAAGUAGUUGUUUGUUUACUAAUUUCCGUGUAAUAUUCUAUUCUAAUUGCACUAUAAUUUAUAUCUGAAUUAAGGUUAUUGAUGCUAUUAAUUAUCUCUCUUUUAAUUAUCUCUCUUUCUUCUUCUCUUAAUGAGUUUUUUAUGUUAUAUAAAUAUUAUCUGUUCUUUUUUCUAAAUUUUCUAAGGUUUCUUUUAUCCAUAUUAAUUUUUCUUUUAGAUUUUCCAUUAUUUCUUUGAGUCGGUUUCUAUAAUUAAUUUCUUCAUAUAGGUCACUUUGGUUUUCUCUAAUUUUUNNNNNNNNNNNNNNNNNNNNNNNNNNUCUUAAUAUCUAUAAUUUCUAUAUUUCUAAGUAUAUAUAAGAUUAAUAUUUUAAGAUUAUCUGCCAUUUAAAAUUGGUUAAAUACUUUAUUAUAAUAUUCUUUAGUUUUUUGUUUUAAUCUUAUUAAUUCCUCUAUAUUUUCAUUAAGAAAUCUAUAUAUUUUAUAUCUUUAGUUCUCAUAUAUUCUUCUAAAUUUGUUUUCAUUAGUUUUUCUAUUAAUUGUAUAUUUUUCAUAUCCAUUUUCCAUUAUUCUAAAUAUAUGUAAUUUAUUAUAGUUGAUAUGUGGGUUUGGUAUGUAAGUAUUUAUAAGAGUAGUUAGGUAAGUGUGGUAUAUAAUUAAUUCUAGUCAUAAAAUAUCUAUCAAAUAUUUUUUUCAAUAUGAUUUUUCUUAUAUCUAUUAUUUCUAUAUCCUUAAGUACAUAUAAAACAAGUAUUUUAAAUUUAUCUACCUUCUCGUCAGAUAAAUAAGUAUUAAUUUUUCAUAUGAUGUUUUUUCAAAAUAUUCCCUUCAAUCAUAUACAUAACAAAAUAUGAUCAUUUUAGAUUACUAUAUACUAGAUUAUUCUUAAAUAACAUAUUCUUCGGUCACUAUUAGCAUGGUAAUCUGAAUCCUUUUCCCUUAAACAGUGCCUCUACUCUGGCUACUCCCCUAUCACGGCUUUCUUGCCUCAUCGGUUUUACCUUUAGGAUGACAUAAUUCUUAGAGAUUUUUCUCCUUUUCCACUUUGCUAAUAAACUUCUUAACAUGCUAUUUUUCGAAUAAUUCUACUAUAAAGCAACUAACAUGAACUUAUUUUAUCAUAUUAUGAUUGUUAGAAAUUUAUGAAUUUAGCUAUUCAUAAUCAUAAAUAAAUAUACCUGUUCUGGUAUGUUUGAUAAUUCUAAGCUUUGUUCAUCCAUAGUUUUUUUUUAUUGAAAUAUACAUGUUUUUUAAUAAAUAAUCAAAAUAUUUAUUGUGGACAAGAGAAAGUUUUUGCUUCAACGCAUGAAGGCUUAUCUUUUCUGCCUUCGAUGCCUUCAUUUAUAAUGAAUGAUUUACAUAGUUCUUACUUACAAAUUUUUACACAUUUUUCAAACUUUACAUCCUAUUCUUAUCUUUACAAAAAGUCUAAAACUAGACUAAAAAGUCUUUAUCUACCUAACCUAAUUAUUAUACUUUACAAAAAAGUCUUCUAAAGUAUAAAAAAAGACAAAAACUAAAACUUUACAAUAAUUUACAAGUUACGUAGAAAAUUGUGAAAGUUUGUUACAUGUCCCUUUCACAAUUUAAUAGCUUAUCUUUUAUCUCCAUUAUUGCUUCCGUUGAUAUUUUCUUCUUGUCGUAUCUGCUUUUUUUCUAUCUUUUUUCUAGCUGCCAUGCUUGCGGACUUCUGGGAUAAUAUUAUCUUCUCCAUUACAUCUCGAACAUUGAUGGUCUGAAUAUUUAUGUCCAAUUAUCUUGCAAUAUCUUAUUUAUAAUCCGUCUGAAAUAAAUCUUUUCCUAAUUGCUCUUGCAGUAGAUUUUUUUUCUGGGUUAAGUAACGUUAUUAUUCAUUGUCUAACAUCUUCCAUAUCUACUUGUCGUAGUUCUUUUGAAUUUGAAUAAAUUAUCUGAUAGUCUCUUGAAUAAUAGCUCCAUAUUGGGUUUUCAUUGGUAUAAUUAUUUGCUAAUUCUUGAAUAAUUGUAGCUAGUCCAAUGAGUCGUUUAUUUGCGUAGAAAUCAGGUAUCUUAAUUCUGGGUAUCUCUGGCUGCUGCACAAUAUCUUUUGGUAUAAUCAUAUCUCUGGUUAAUCCUAUUUUUACAACUUGUAUAACUGGUUUGAUCUCGUCGUAUAAUAUCUCUGCUGAUGCAGUAUAACACUUUAUAUAAAAUAGAUUUUCUUUGGUUAUUCUUUUAUAGGUGGUGAAUAUUUUAUGUAAUUCUUACAUAGAUGAUAGUUCUUCUCCGUCUUGGGUAUAUAUGGUAUUUAAUAAUCCAUAGUUAAAACAAGUUUUUAUUAAGCUUGGGUUGGUUUUGGAUAGUACGAUUAGCUUGUUGUAACCUUGUAAUUUUGGGGUUAUAUAGUUUGUGUUUGGUCCUUGGGUAUCUGUAGCUCUGGGGUUAAGAUUUAGAAAAGUUUGUACUUUGUAUAUAUUUUCUAUGUAUUCUCGGGUUAUAUAGUUAUAAGUUUUUUUAUCUUGGUUCAGACUAUCUCGGUAUGUGGUAAUUUGUGGGGGUAGAAAUAAGGGGUCUUUUUGUGUUUUUGGUAUAAAUGGUUUAUCAAAUAUCUUAUUCAUGUUCAUGUUAUGGUAUCUUUGUCUACUAACUCCUUUGCUUGUACCUGCAAUUGUAGAUUGAUAAACGUUAUGGGUUUUAUGGAGUGUCCCAACGUCUUCUUCUAGCUCUGAAAUUUUAAUGUCUUUCGAUCGACAUAGCUCUGUACACUUCUGAGUUAGCUGAUUUUCAGCUCUAGACUUCAGUUUAACUUCAUUAGUCUUUAGCUUUUCUAUUUCAUUACCUAUACUGUCCACCUUCAUUGAAAGCGUAGUUAGGGUUUUAAGUAUCUUUUCUAAAGCAUCAUCUUCUAUUAUAGCAGUCUGUGUAGCUUUGUCUUGAUAUGUAAUCUGCAAUAACGUUUUUGCUAGUACUAAUUACUUCAAUUGUAAAUGUAAAAUUUAAUAUAUUCAAUACUAUAUUAUCUGUUCGUACAAUAAAUUUGUUAUAUACAAUAUAUGGCUCAAAUGAUAAUAAACACUUAUAUAAUGAACAUAACUCUUUUCUAUUUAUUUCCCAUUUUAUUUCUGUCUCGUUGAACGUACCUGAGUAGUAUCUACAAUGAUGUUCUAUUUUUUCUGCUUCAUAUCGAUAUUUAAGUACUCCUCCGUAACUAUAUUCACUAGCAUCUGCUUCUACUAUAUAUAUAUAAACUUUCUAUUUUCGUCUGGAAAUUGUAAUUUUGGUAAUUCUUUACAAAGUAUUUUUAUUUUUUGGACUUGUUUUUUAUCUUCUUCGUUGUAAUUAUAUUCUACUUCCUUUUUUAAUUUUUUCUGUAAAGGCUUUAGGUUUUCUACUAAUUUUGGUAUAUAUCUCUUACUUGGUUUACUAAUCCUAAAAACAAUUGUAAUUUAUUUUUUGUAUCUAAUUCUUCUUUUGAAUUUAUUAUUUUUUGUACUAUAUGUUGUUGCAUUUUUACUCCACUUUUAUCUAUUUGUAUUCCUAAAAAUUCUAUCUGGUUUUUCAUAAUUUCGGCUUUCUUUUCACUUGAACUUAUUCCCGAUUUUUCUAUUAUAUCUGUAAAUUGUCCUAAUAAUUUUAAAUGUUCUUUUUUAGUUUUUGUAUAUAAUAGUAUAUCAUCUAUGUAUACUAUACAAUUAGGUAAUUGUUUAAAAUAACUAUCUAUAAAGUGUUGAUAUCUACUUGGUGCAUUUUUAUAUCCAAAUGGUAAUACGUUUCAUUCAUAAAAUUCUUGUGGUACUGUAAAUGCGAUUAAUUUCUUAGAUUCUUCUUCUAACUUUAAGUGGUAAAAUCAUGAUUUACAGUCAAAUUUACUAAAAUAGUUAUAUCCUGUAUUUGUCUUAUUUUUAAUAUCUUAUUUGGUAUUGGGUAAUUAAAUGUCAUAGUUUUUGCAUUUAAAUUUCUAUAAUCAAUAACAAUUCUACUUUUACCUUUUGUUUGUUCACUAUAUUUAUUUACUAUAAAUGCUAGACUAUUGUGUUUACUAUUACUUUUAUGUAUAUAUUUUUUCUAGUAAUUCAUCUAUAUGCAUUUUAAAUUCUUUUAAAUCGUCAAAAUUAUAUGUUAAUGGUUUUUGAGUUAUUAUGCUAUUUUUAUCUAUUAAUUCAAUUUUUAUAGUAGUUUUAUGUUUUUUCCAUCCUUUUAAUGGAUCUUCACUAUAUAAUUGUCUUAAUUUUUUCUUUAUUAUUCUACCUUAUCUAUUGAAAAUAUAGUUUUUUUUUUAUUUAUCGAAAAUACAAUUUUUUAUAUUUUUUAACUUUUGUGUAUUUUUUUCACUUCCUUCUAUCCAAUCAGUUUUCUUUCUUAUUUUAUUAAUAAUUCUUUUUGCUCUUACCUUUUGUUUACAUGGUAUUGUAAACCAGCAAUCUGUUUUAGUUAUUAUAUGUGGAUAUAAUUUAUCUAAAAAUGACAUUCCUAAAAGNNNNNNNNNNNNNNNNNNNNNNNNNNNNNNNNNNNNNNNNNNNNNNNNNNNNNNNNNNNNNNNNNNNNNNNNNNNNNNNNNNNNNNNNNNNNNNNNNNNNNNNNNNNNNNNNNNNNNNNNNNNNNNNNNNNNNNNNNNNNNNNNNNNNNNNNNNNNNNNNNNNNNNNNNNNNNNNNNNNNNNNNNNNNNNNNNNNNNNNNNNNNNNNNNNNNNNNNNNNNNNNNNNNNNNNNNNNNNNNNNNNNNNNNNNNNNNNNNNNNNNNNNNNNNNNNNNNNNNNNNNNNNNNNNNNNNNNNNNNNNNNNNNNNNNNNNNNNNNNNNNNNNNNNNNNNNNNNNNNNNNNNNNNNNNNNNNNNNNNNNNNNNNNNNNNNNNNNNNNNNNNNNNNNNNNNNNNNNNNNNNNNNNNNNNNNNNNNNNNNNNNNNNNNNNNNNNNNNNNNNNNNNNNNNNNNNNNNNNNNNNNNNNNNNNNNNNNNNNNNNNNNNNNUAUAUAAUUUUCUUCUUGUCCUGUGUUUAAGAGUAUUAAAUAUUCUUUUUCAUUUAUUGUUCCCGUUAUAUAAUAUUGAUUUAAAUUAACUGUUGAAAUUGUUUCAUAACUUGUUCUUUUUUAUGAACUUGAUGAUUCUAGUUUUUCGUGAGUUAUUUUUUUUUAUGUACUUAUCCUAUAAUUUAUUAUUUCUAAAUCUUCUUCUAUAUCUAUAUUCUUGUAACUAUAGUCAUUAUUAUCAAUUGUUUUUACGAAUUGUUCAAAAGGACUUUCUAUUUGUAUUUUAUUAAUUUUAUUUUUUCCUGUUAUUUUAUGUUUUGUUGUUAAUACUUAUAAAUUUUUACAUCUUGCUGUAAAUAUUUUACUUCCUGGGGUUAGUUCUAUUCCUGAUAUUUUCCAAUAUAAUACUAAUGAUUUAUCUAUAUUUUUAUCUAUUAUUGCUACUGAAUAAUUCGCACUUAUUAUAAAUUUAAAUUUUAUCUAUUCCUUCUCUAAAACAUGUUUUUAUUAAUAUCUAUCUCUGUUUAAGGUGUACAUAUUUUAUUGGGUUUUUACUUUUUAUAUCAUUUAUUUCUUUAUUAAUUAUUCUUUUUGUUACUAGCGGUAUGCUAGCUCUUCUCUUGCAUAUCUACAAUCUAUUACAUGUUCUUUUUGACUUACUACGUAGUAUUCUUCCUUUUUUCUACUAAAUAUAUUUUUUAUUAUUGGUAUUUUAAAUAUUUUUUCUACACUUAACUCUAACUCUUUGCCUUUUAUUUCGUCAAAUAUUUUACUGUCAAAUAUUACUUUUUGAUAUGUUCUUUCUUCGUUUAAAUAUUCUUCCUUUGUUAUUAUUUUUAUAUCUUCUUCAGUUAUUUGGUUCAUUUUUAUAUCUUCUUCAGUUAUUUGAUUCAUUUUUAUAUCUUCUUCAGUUAUUUGAUUCAUCUAAUUCACUAUCUAUUUCAUUAUCUGUUUCAUCCUCUGAAAUUUCAUAUAUACUAUCUUCACUUUCUAAUUCAUAAUCUAUAUAAUCUAUCUGCAUAUAUUCUGUAUUUCUAUUGUUAUUUAUGAUAUUUGUUCAUUUUUUGAAUUUUUUUGGUAAUUUACAAUCUCUAGCUAAAUGUCUUAGUUUUCCGCAAUUAUAACAAGUACAUUCUUUAAUAGAUUUCAUUUUUCUAUGUGGUCUUUUAUGUUUAUAAUUUUUUACAUAAUAUAUUUUUCUUGAUUUCUUAUAUUUAUAUUUUAAUUUUUUGUAUAUCUUAUAUUUCUUAUGUCUUUUUCUUUUCUUAUAGCAUCUUUCUUCACAUCCAAAUUGAGGUGUUAUUUUAUCUUUGCAACAUGCUAAAUUUCUUAUUAAUGUUUUUUUCAUUUUUAUUUAUUCUCUAUAUUUUUCACAUAGAUUUCUAUAUCAUUGUUGUAAAAAUGUUAUUCUUGCUCCUAGGGUAUCUACUAUUUUUAUUUCAUCCCAACUCUUUAUUAUUUUUGAACUAAAUGGUUCAGGUAAUUUACUAAAAUAUAAUUUUCUUAUUUCUUUACUUUCUUCUAUAUUAUAUGUUCCUUUAUAAUAAUAUUCUUUAAAUGCGGAAGCGUAUAUUCAUAUAUAACACAUAUUACAUAUUGCUAAUUUUAACAUUAAAUCCCUAUUCGUAUCUUUUUCUUUAUUUUGUUCUGCUUCUUCUGUUGUCAUACUGUUAAAUUCAUCACUUAUAACUAUUUUAUACUUUUUCAAUAUUUCUGUUGGAAAUAUUUUUGUAGGUGUUGAUGUUCCUUCUGUUUUUGUAUCAGAUCUUCAUACUUUUUUACUUGCUUUGGCUAGGUUUAAAAACCAUAAUUUUACUGUUCCUAUUAAUGUCUUUUCUAUAUAUUCUGGUGUGUUUGUUGUAUCUAUUUUAUCAUCUAAUAAUUGUUUUGACAUNNNNNNNNNNNNNNNNNNNNNNNNNNNNNNNNNNNNNNNNNNNNNNNNNNNNNNNNNNNNNNNNNNNNNNNNNNNNNNNNNNNNNNNNNNNNNNNNNNNNNNNNNNNNNNNNNNNNNNNNNNNNNNNNNNNNNNNNNNNNNNNNNNNNNNNNNNNNNNNNNNNNNNNNNNNNNNNNNNNNNNNNNNNNNNNNNNNNNNNNNNNNNNNNNNNNNNNNNNNNNNNNNNNNNNNNNNNNNNNNNNNNNNNNNNNNNNNNNNNNNNNNNNNNNNNNNNNNNNNNNNNNNNNNNNNNNNNNNNNNNNNNNNNNNNNNNNNNNNUUAUUUCUAAUUUUUCUUUAAAUUGAUUUAUCUCAAUUAAUUAUUUUUGUUCUUUAUCUUUUUCUUCUUUUUUUCUGUUUUUUUUUCAUACAAGUCUUUUAGCAUUUGUAGUUCUUUUUCUAAUUCAGCAAUCCUACUAUUUUUAGUUUCUUCUAUUUUUUGUAUUUCUUCUAUAGUUUGUUGUUUUAUUUUAUCUAUUUCCUUUUUUCUAUCUAUCUCUUCGCUUUCUCUUUCUAUUCAUGACUGCCAACUUAUCUUCUAAUUUUAAUUCUUCUUUUUUAAUAUUAAAUAUAAAUGUUCACCUAUUUUCUUAUACCUUCUUCCUAGAUUAGAAAAUACUAUUUUUAUUUUUAAUCCUUCAUGGCUUUCAUAUAUUUUUUCAUCUAUUAUAAAUUCUUCUUUGUUCAUUUUUAUUUAAUUGUUAAUAGAUCGUGUCGGUAUGUAUAUUCUAGACUAUCUAUGGUUGAUUCUAAUUGAUAUUUCUUCUUUUUGUACAUUUAUUGAAUUUUUACUAACUCCAACAAUUAUGUAUACUGUAGUCUUUCUAUCAUUAUUUUUUAUUCUUUACGUUUUUCAGAUAUUAUUUGUUUUAAUUAUUUAUAUUUUUGUAAUUUUGUACGUUAUUCAUUUAAAUAAUUAAUCUUUUGAUGAAUAUCUAAAUCUAAUAAAUUAAUCAAAUAACUCCAAAUAUAUACUACUUUCGUAACUUUAAUCAACAUAGGCUCUGAUACAAUUGUACGGGGUUGCGGAUAAAUUUAAUAGAUAUAUCUUUUUAAACAACAAAAAAUUGAAGAAGAAACUCUAGAACUCCAAAGCAACAUUUGGUGCGAUUAAAUAUCUUGUUAAAUUAAUUUUACAAAUUUUUAUAAUCUGACAAAAAUAUAUUAUAUUUAUUCUUUGUUAGUUAAAAGUUAGGCAAAGUAAACUACUCUUAAAAAAAGACAGGUGAGAACAAAUGGCAUACAUUUGACAUAUAUUUUUUUUUAACACAAGCACAAAUAAAGAUUCUGAAGUUGUCCAACAGAAGUUAUAGCACACCUUUUAAGUUAUUUGACUGGCGGAGUAGACUGUUUUGAUAAAUCUGUGGAAAAAAAAAGUACAACAAAAUCUUAUUAGUGCUUUUCAGAUAUAUGAUCAAACACGUUGGACGUGCACAGUCUGAAACACCUAAAAGUCAAUUAUCCGAACUUGAUCUUGCACAGUAGUACAUAAGAUAAACAGUGUAUACAGUAUAAAUAAUCAAUAUGGAGAAGAAAUUCCUACUACAUAUAUCGAUGCAUUAAUAAGGUUUUAGUUUAACUACCAUAAGUAAUAUCAAAGCAAACGAGGACACACGGCUAAAAUUAAAAAGUCGCCCUAAGCUGAACAAUGUUCACUGCUAAAUGAGUAAAAAAACAUAUCAUAGUUUAAUUUUAAUGAAACUAAUAUAUGUGAAAUUGGAGAGAAAGCUAUUAUGCCAGACAUUAUAGGCAUAAAUGAAAUAACACUUUUCAACCUACGAUUAUUUUGAACUAUGGUCAUUUCUUUUUCGAGGACUCAAAUGUAAAAAUUUAAUCUUUCUUUCUAACACAAAGUAUUUGAGGGACACAGAAAUACAUCUGAAUGCAAAUAGAAUUCAACAACAAUAAUAUACUCAGUGUAUUCCUACGGUAGACAUAUAAUUUUUGACCCUCCCGGAGUUUUAAUUUAUUAUUCGGCAUUAAAUAUUUUCGUUUUUUGUCAAAUAUUCAUUUUUACUUUUUUUUUUUUCAUUUUUUAAUACGUUUUAGUUGAAAAGAAAUAAAUAGUUAGAAUUACAUUUUGAGAUAUUUUUAUUUUUGUUUUUGUGUUUAAAAUAAUACGAAAUAUUCAAAAAUAUAUUUCUCUUUUAAUUUUAAUAAAUAGGUUAGUAGUUUUAUUAUUAUUUUAAUUAUAUUUAUUUUAAAUUAUUUAUAAACUUUUUAUGUAUUUUCUAAAAUAUAAAAAUUAAUUAAUAUUCUAUUAUUAUUAUUAUGUAUUAUUUAUUUAUUAAAAAAAGAAAAAGAAAAAAAAUAAAAAUUGAAUAAUUAUCCUAACCCAACUACCCCACCCUAUCUGUAUCGCAACUUCCUUCAACCUCUUCCCCCAUCAGUAUAUAACUCCCCAACUUUUCCAAAGACUAUGGACUUGGAACAUUAGAAAACAAAAAAGAAGGAACGACGUACUUUUACACAUUAUUUUAUACUGUAUCACACAAAAUCAGAAAAAAGACAUCAGAAAAACAGACACUACAUUAGAAAAAGUGAGAGAUAACCAGAGAGAAAAAAAUUAAUCAGAGAAGAAAAUCAGAGAACACCCCUAAAAACAGGAAGAGAAUCAAGUUUGGUUUCUGUGAGUUUCCAGUGAAGGCAUCCUUAUUUCUACUUUAGUUAUUCUACCUCACAGGUUUUUAUUCAAUCUUGUACUGCUAUUUUUAUAAAUGGUAUUGUGAAUAGAAACAGGAACAAAAUGUUGUUUGAAACGAUUUAAUUUUAUUUUUUAUUUAGAAUUUGGAUUACUUAUGUUGGAUCUUGGUUUGAAGUAGUGUUAUUUUUUCAUCCCGUUUAGUACAUCUUAUAAGUAUAUCGUUGUGUUUCUUGGCACUCCAUAUAGUGUUUUGAAACUUAAUCAGUUUUAGUUGAAACUUAAUCAGUUUGGUUGAAUGAUUAAGUGAGUAUGGUGUUUUCUCGGCACUUCGCAUAGUGUGUUCUUAAAAUAAUUUUUAUUCAUGAAUUAAGCAUUCUAAAAAUCAUGGGAAAUAAGUAGUAUCUCAGGCAAAACAUUCAUGUAUAGCUUUGGGUAAUUUGAUUUUUAAGAUGUUAGUGUUUAGUGCUUGUUAAUAAUUGAAUAACUGAAGGUUGGUAUUUUAUCUUGUUAGUUACAUCAAAUUUUAUAUGCAUUUAAGUUAGUCACUAGAAGCGUAAUUUGAUAUUAAACUAAAUCAAUCAUUGCUCAUAGCAAAAAUGCAAUUUAUUUUUCCGUUAGGUAGAGUAUUUAAGGUUCUUUCUACAUGGAUAUAAUGCUAAUUUCAAGUUUGGUGCAUACUGUACAUAUCUAUUAGAAAAAAAUGUGUUUUAUGAAUUCAUUAAUUAUGUCACGGUUUAGUAACGUUACUAGUGAUGAUCAUAAUUUUUUUUCUGUUGGAAUUGUUUGAAGAUACUCCAAACAUUUUUUAUUUUAUUUUAUUUAAGUAAGACUUGGCUCAUUAAACGUAUAUUUAACUUUGAUAAAGAUAACUCGGGCUUCUAAUUGUUUGGACUUUAAUAUUAUUCUAUAAAUUAACUACACUUAAGGUCUAAAUGAAUUAACUAGAUGGAGUUUAAUUGAGAUGAGUUGUGGAUUUAUUAAAAACCCAUCGCGGAAAAGAAAAAUAAAAAAUAGGAAAAACUCAUUUGUAAGGGAGCGAGAUGAGUUGCGGAAUAAUCCAAAAUUCAUUGCAAAAUAAAGAGAGAAAAAGAAUAAAAAAGAUAAUGUAAAAUUGUUUCGAUUUUAUAAAAGACGAACGAAUGUCUUUUAACGCUAGAUAAGCUUUAGGCAUGUCUAAUAUAUUUGUCUCGACUAAGAAUGCGGCAUACACAUCUUUUCGAGAUGUUUUAAAAUAAUUCGAGAAUGCGAUAUUGUACUUUGAUAAAGAUAGUCCUAAAAUUAAUUUCCCCUAGCUUAAUACAAGAGGUAUGGACAGAUAUUUUUGGUAUAGUAAAAACGAGAAAAUCAAGGCAUUCAAACAUAAUUUAUCAAAUAGUUUAAGUUAAGUAUAAGUUGAUAAAGCGACCAUGCUAGAACCACGGGACUCGAGGGGUGCCUCACACCUUCCUCUCGGUCAACAGAAUUCCUUACCCGGUCUUCUGUUUUCACAGACCAAAAUAAAGAGUCAUUUCCUUUUGAUUAGGGAUUCAAUAAGGUGACUUGGAACACCACAUCUAAAUUUCAAGUGGCGGCUCUGUAAAUAAAAUAAUCCCUAUUCAAUAUCAUCACUUUAAUUGAAAAAAUCCUUCGAUCUCGGCUCUUCAAGCGAAAAAGGAGUGUGAUAUCUUUGGCGACUCUGCUGGGAAUUAAUAAGAAUUCGAGCUUUAAAUAUUGACUUUUACUUACUUUAAUUAUUUUUAUAUUGUGUUUGUUAACUUUAUGUAUUACUUGUUGCUCAUUUUCUUCUUUGAUAUUAUUGAACUGUAUUAUAAACUGUUUUCUCUUGCGCACCCCUCUGAGUCUCUAAAAUAAGAUAGAAGGAAUGCAGCGUAGGUAUUCUACUUUCUUUUUGAGAUAACCGGAGUGUCAAGGCACCUGGUGAAGGAUUAUAGUCACACAUGUUAGGCGGGGUUUGGAUCAAUAAUGAAGACGGAAUAACGUUGAUAUCGAAUAAGUUGUCCCUCCCAGACUCGAGUGUCCGCUUGGGUAAGCUAGUCUAGACACCUAUCCUUAUUAAGCUAAACUUAGUAUAACUGAAACUCAGAAUCUGGUUAUCCCUAUUAGGUUCCGCUUUAUUUGCAUCAUAUGCAUUUGACUUAGCGGGACUCGGCACAGGGGUCGGGUUUGUAUAGGACAGGUGUCCCUCUUUAUAAUGACCAACAUGUGCAUCAUAUGUGCUCUUUGACAUUUAUUUAGAAGGCCAUUUAAUUAUUGACCGGCUUCGGGCGACUUAGAAAAACGUGAGAGAGUAUAUUGUCCUCAAAUUUAACAAAUCAUUUUUCAAAAAAAAAAAAACAUAUACGUAGUUUUUCUUUUAAGUCGUUAUGAACUACGGGGAUCUGAUUCUCACUCUUUAGUGAGAUACGUAGGAAAUCCUUCCCGGGAUACAACCCUGUCUUUAAAAAUUAUUCAUAGAUUUAUUAGAGAAUAUUUUAAAAAUAUGAUUACUUUCAUAAUCUUAUCCUCAAGUUCAAUUUUUAUAUUUAUUUAUAUAUAUGUAUCUUAGUAGCCUUAAAUCUUUAGGGAUCAUGAGGCUAAGGUUUUACAAAAUAAAAAAUAUAUAUAAAUCUUAACAGUCCUGAACCUUUAGGGGUCUUGAGGCUGAGUUUUGUACGACAUAUAUUUCAAGAAUUACGCACACUUGAUUCUCAUCUUAAUGAGAUACGUAGGCAGUCCUUCAUGAAUUUGAUUGACUAUAUAUAUUUUAAUUUUUCUUCAGCAUUUGAGUUGAUGAACUAAACCAGAUAGUUAUAUGAGUGAAAGAAAACGGCUUCUAAAUUUGCAGUAAAAAGGUUGAGUCUCAUUUCCUAUGUACAAGAAUCAAAUGGUGAAAAAAGUAAACAUACGCAAGAGAGAUUGUUUACCCCAAGAUUGAUGAAUUGUCAUGAUAGCUUGAAGCGGGUUCAAAAGAUCAACUGUAUCAACUUUAUGGGGUUUUUACUGUCUAUUACCAUAGAUGGAUUUCCACAACGAGAGGUUGAAAGCAAAAAUGAGUGGAUGGUUAGGAAGACCAAGAUACACAAAGGAUUAGUAAUUGAGAUUAUGGAAGUUAUCCAAGAGGAUAUUUCUGUAAUAGGCAGUCCUUCAUGAAUUCGGUGAUCUUAAAAAAAGGGUUAUCUUUUCUUCUAAACCAAAAAAAAAAGAAGAAAGUUUUGAUCCUUAUAUACAUAUAAAAUAAUAAAACUAAUUUGUUUUCAAAAAUAAUAAUAAAUAAAUAUUAUUAUUUUUUUAAAUAAAUUCAAAAAAUUUGUUUCUCAUUAUUCAAAUAAAAAAAUAUGUUUCUUAAUAUCUCUAGUUUUCAACAACUACGCACACCUGAUUCUCAUCUUAAUGAGAUACAUAGGCAGUCCUCCAUAGAUUCGGUGGUCCUAAAAAAUUUUUUGAACUCUGACACAUUAGUUUUCUCCAAAAUUAAAAUAAUAUUUAGUGGUUGGCUUGUGGCUAAAUUGACAUCUCACCCAUACAACACCAUGUCUAAAUAACAGGCAAGAUGACCCAUAGAAAAUGAUAUAGGGUCUGAGAUGAGUUGGCAUAGAUUGUUAGAAAUGAGGAAUAAGAAGAAAUGGCUUGAAAAGUGAGAAAUUAGGAGCAAAAUAUCAGAAACAUGCAAAUACUGAGAGAGAAAAAGAGAGUUCUCACAAUGAUUUUUACAUGUUUCAAUAUUCACUUACCUCUAAACUCCAAAACACCACAGUUAGAUAUAUAAGAAGGUCAUGGUGAUCCUUUGACUCAUAUGAGAAGAUUUUGUAAUCAAUUAAGAGGAGUGGGGGGAAAGAGAAACUGCUGACGUCUUUCUUUGGAGAGAGUUUAACGGUGAUAAAUUCAGAAUGGUUAGGAAAAAAACAGAUGAUGUUGCAAUGAUGAUGGAGACUCCAUUAAGGCCGACGUACAAAUCAGUGGCUAAAAUAUCAAGUUCGACAAUUUAAAAGUCACUCUGCACCCCAUGACGAAAGAGUUUUGGUAGUCUGUUUUGUUUUUCUUUCUGCUACCAGAAUUAUUUUAAAGUUGUAGUUUGGAAUGUAUCUUGUCUUAUUUUAUUAUCAUUUCUGUCCAAACCCUUCUAUCUUUCUGUCAGCAAAUGUGUCCCUUUUAUUUUUAUUUUUAUUUUUCAAUAUAUAUUGUUUGAUUCUCUUUCUUUUCUUUAGAGAGCUCUUCUAUGGUGAUUCUAGUGAUGUGAUAUGCAUAUUGAAUUCACAGACUGAUCUUAAAAUCUAAUCUAUCCGAAAACACUUGGCCAAGAAGAUAGAGUUCAAAGGAAAAAAUAUAUAACGAAAUAAGUAAAAUGUUGAGUUGUUUGGUGAUCAAGUUAAAGCCUCACUUAAAUAGAUUGAGGUAAUCACUUUGAGAAUAAACAAAUGACUUGGUCAUCAAUGAGAAGAUCCAUCUCAGGUAAUUCAAAUGGAUCAAUCAGAGGUUAUAUAGUCUUCAUUUUUAGAAGAAGUAAAAGGAAUUUAACUUUAAAAAUGUACGAGUCCUUUAAUGGGAGGAAUGUGAAUACAAUUGGACCUUUCUGUUUGACAAGUGCAUAAGAAGUAGUGACAUACGUACUCAGUCAAGGUCAAUAUUGAAAAAUAUAUAUGAUCUUCAUGUUCACUCUCAAAUUGCAUGUUUAGUGCUUACAUUUUAAAGGACUGAUAUGACGAAAACAUUUCAUUCUGCUAUUCAAAUUUUGUGUCAUCCUUCGUUACCCCUUUUGAGCUUUAGUUUUAUUUUAUUUCAUACCCCUCUUUUGGAAUCAAAAUAGAGUUUGAAAAAUAAAAAGAGGAUGUCAAGAAAAAUAGAGUUAGUAAAAUGUCAAGAAAAAAUGAAGUCAGAAAAAAUGUCAAGAAGAAAAUGGAGUCAGAAAAAAUGUCAAGAAGAAAAUGGAGUCAGAAAAAUGUCAAGAAAAAAGAAGUCAGAAAAAAUGUCAAGAAGAAAAUAGAGUUAGAAAAAAAUUAGAGUUAAAAAAAAUCCCCAAAAGAGAGGAAUCAAAGAAAAGAAAAAUAACAGAGCCCAAGUUCGGUUAAAAAAAAAGCAAAAGCAAAAAGCAAGAGAAUGAAUUGUCUGAACUACGUUUGACUUGAUUCUUGCUAUGACAAGAUACGUAGGCAACCCUACUCUGGGUUCGGUCCAACUAAAAAAAAAUUCAAGUUACCCAGAAUGAAAUAAAUCUGGGGCAAAAGUUUAUUUCCUUAAAGAGUACUCCAAAAGUUGUAUGCUUCACUCAAUGUUAUGUAAAAUUUUUAGUCUCAAGCUGCUCUUUCUUUCUAACCCUUUCAAAAAUCCAAGUUACAACCAAAGAAAGACCUUCAGAUUAAUCUUUGAGAAUGUCAAGGCUAAACAUGUUAUGGGUGCAUGAUGUUUCAUAUUUUAGGCGUCAUUUUUUUUCAAAAAAAAUGAGUCUUAUUGGUGAAAACCCUUUUGGGCACCAAAAGGCGACAGUGAAUUGUGAGAUCAAUAAAAAUGAGAGAGUCUUAUUGGUAAAUAUCCUUAUGGGUACCAUAAGGUGACAAUGAGUUGAAAAAAAAAGAAAAUGGGAGUGGCUCGUUGGCACAAACCCAUUGAGGUGCCACUAGCCUAAGGAGAAUUAUGAUUAGUUUGGUAAAAGUUGAUAGUGAUUAGUUUGGGUAGAUCAGGUUGUUAAAUUCAAAAUGCAUGUCAUAAUCACUGGAAUCAACUUUCACAUCCAGAUAAAAUUUUCUUUUGACAUUUUUGAAAAAAACGAGAUGUCUAUUGUCUUGUCCUUUUCUUUUUGUUUCUUUUAUUUUUAUUUUUGAUUUUUGUGUCUUUGUGAUCAAAAUAAAAUCACUAUCAUCAUUUUUCAUGUUUUUUUGAGUCAAAACUUGCUACCAACUCAUUCAGUAGUGCAAAGCAAGACAAAGGGCCGACACAUAAAGAUAAGAUGUUUCAAAAAUAAAGUAAGAUACUCGAGAAUACUUGUCAUCCGAUAGUUUUUGGACUCAUAGAAGUAUAAAAGGUGUAUUUGAAGCUGAAUCCAGAGGCAUUAUGCAAGAGAAAUAUGAUUUGAGUCAAAAAAUUUGAGAGUCAGAUUUGGGAUCGAAAGUAUGACAAGUCAACAAUACCUAUCAAUGAUUUUCAAUGGAGCUGAGCAUCACAAGUGCACAAACGAUCUCCUUAAUAGCCAAAUGCCGCAAAUCAACCACCACAUUUUAAAAAAAAAUUAAACAAAAUUAAAAUUUUUCUUUGUAUGAAACAAAAACACAUGUUACCUUUAAAUCAAGGGAUUCAGAGCCUAAAUAUCAAAAUAUGCAAUUCCUUACUUUUGCAAAUGCAAGAGGCAAUAUUGCUACACAUGUUUAGUAAUCACAAUCAUUGUUAAAACUCGUUAUCCAUUACUCCUAGAAGAUGCACUUUCUAGUUGAGUCAUUUAACCCCUAGGAGACGUAAUUCCUGGUCUGGAUAAUUCAAGAUUUAUUUGUUAGGUAACACACUUCCUAACUUGAACCUUCACUCCUAGAAGACGUACUUUCUAGUCGAGUCAUUUUAUUUAACGCCUAGGAGACGGACUUUCUAGUCAGGGUAUGUCAGUUUGCAUGUGUUAGGUAAUGCACUUCCUAACUUGAACCUUCACUCCUAGAAGACGCACAUUCUAGUCGAGUCAUUUUAUUUAACCCCUAGGAGAUGUAGUUCCUAGUCAGGAUAUGUCAGUUUUCAUGUGUUAGGUAACACAUUUUCUAAAUUGAACCUUCACUCCUAGAAGACGCAUUUUCUAGUUGAGUCUUUUCAUUUAACCCCUAGGAGACGCACUUCCUAGUCAGGGUAUACCAGUUUUCAUGUGUUAGGUAACACACUUCCUAACUUGAACAUUCACUCCUAGAAAACGCACUUUCUAGUCAAUUCAUUUCAUUUAACCCCUAGGAGACGCACUUUCUAGUCAGGGUAUGUCAGUUUUCAUAUGUUAGGUAACACACUUCCAAACUUGAACCUUCACUUCUAUAAGACACACUUUCUAGCUGAGUCAUUUCAUUUAGCCCUUAGGAGACGCAUUUCCUGAUUUGGGUAUUUCAGUUUUCAUUUGUUAAGUGACACACUUCCUAACUUGAACUUUUACUCCUAGAAGGCGCACUUUCUAGUUGAGUAAUUUCAUUUAACCCUUAGAAGACAUACUUUCUUAUUUGGGUAAUUUAAGUUUCAUGUGUUAGAAGACGCAUUUUCUAAUUUGGGUCAUCAAUUUUACUCUAAAGAAAUGCAUUUCUGUAGCAGGAUCUUGAUUCACCCUUUUUACUGUAUUUUUUAAAAGUUGUGAUCGGAUGACACUCACAAAACUUUCUAGCGCAAACUGGGAAAAAAUUUUAUUCGUGUUUAUGGGACAGGACCCUCCUGAAUAAUGAAAAUUUAUUUUUAUGCUCAGGACCCUCCUGAAGAAUGGGACAAGACCCUCCUGAAGAAUGAGAAUUUAUUUUUAUGCUUAGUACCUUCUGAAGAAUGGGACAGGACCCUCUUAAAGAAUGAAAAUUUAUUUUUAUGCUCAGGACCCUCCUGAAGAAUGGGACAGGACCCUCCUGAAGAAUGAGAAUUUAUUUUUAUGCUUAGUACCUUCUGAAGAAUGGGACAGGAACCUCUUAAAGAAUGAAAAUUUAUUUUUAUGCUCAGGACCCUCCUGAAGAAUGGGACAGGACCUUCCUAAAGAAUGGGAAUUUAUUUUAUGCUCAAGACCCUCCUAAAGAAUGAGAAUUUAUUUUAUGCUCUCAGGACUCUCCUGAAGAAUGGGACAGGACCCUCCUGAAGAAUGAGAAUUUAUUUUAUGCUCAGGACCCUCCUGAAGAAUAAAAAUUUAUUUUAUGCUCAGGACCCUCCUGAAGAAUAGGAUAGGACCCUCCUAAAGAAUGAAAAUUUAUUUUAUGCUCAGGACCCUCCUGAAGAAUGGGACAGGACACUCCUGAUGAAUGAGAAUUUAUUUUUUGCUCAGGACCCUCUUAAAGAAUGGGACAGGACACUACUGAAGAAUGGGAAUUUAUUAUGCUCAGGAUCCUCCUGAAGAAUGGGACAGGACCCUUCUGAAGAAUGAGAAUUUAUUUUAUGCUCAGGACCCUCCUGAAGAAUGGGACAGGACCCUCCUGAAGAAUGAAAAUUUAUUUUAUGUUCAGAAUCCUUCUUAAUAAUGGGACAGGACCCUCUUGAAGAAUGGGACAGGACCCUUCUAAAGAAUGAAAAUUUAUUUUUUGCUCCGGACCCUUCUGAAGAAUGGGACAGGACCUUCCUGAAGAAUGGACAGGACCCUCCUGAAGAAUCAAAAUUUAUUUUAUGCUCAAGACCCUCCUGAAGAAUGGAAAUUUAUUUUUUUCUCAAGACUCUCCUGAAGAAUGAGAUGUUAUUUUUCUGUUUCAUAUUUUAUUUUGAGUCCAGGAACAUAUUUGUAAAUCAGGAAAAGCAAGUCAGGAACCCACUUGAAGAAUAGGGUGAAUAAAAAGUAAAUCAGGAGUCCGCCUGAAGAAUAGGGUGAACAUUAUCAGUUGCAAGUUUAGGAGUCCACCUGAAGAAUUGGGUGAAGAUUGUCAAGUUCAAGUCAGGGGAAAGUUUUAAGAAUAAAUCAAUUAUCAAGUUCCUCUCUAAUGCCAGAAGUCAACGAGAAGGAACAUUUCGUGUUUCAAGUUCAACUCAAAUAACAACUAUCUCACCAUUUGAUAAGUCAUGAAGAUUCCAGUCAGGAUUCUAGAAAAGUAGCAUAGAUAGGAUCUUUCACUUGUAUCUUCAUUUUAGUUUUUGCUAUUUUUUGUUAUUCAUUUCAAUGUGAAAGCAGAAAGUCGGAAACCGGAAACUCAAAGGAACCUCACUCGGUCUUAAACUUGUUCUCUCAUCAUUUUACCUUUGAACUACACGUGACAUGAUUCCCUUAUAACCCGGGAUAUAUAGGCGAUCCAAAACCCAGACUCGAUCAUAUCUUUUCUUUUAUUUUAUCUUUAUCCUCAUUUUUUGAAUAAUUGGGGGAUCAAAAAUCAUUUAUUUGUCUACUUCUUUGUAUAAAAACUCUUUGAAAUUUCACACAAAGAGGGGCAAAAUGUAGACAGAUGAUUUUUGACCCUCGCGGAGUUUUAAUUUAUUAUUCAGCAUUAAAUAUUUUCAUUUUUUGUCCAAUAUUCAUUUUUACUCUUGUUUCACUUUUUAAUAAGUUUUAGUGGAAAAUAAAUAAAUAGUUAAAAUUACAUUUUGACAUAUUUUUAUUUUAAUUUGUAUUUUUGUUUUUGUUUUUGUUUUUGUGUGUAAAAUAAUACGAAAUAUUCAAAAAUAUAUUUCUCUUUUAAUUUUAAUAAAUAGUCCAGUAGUUUUAUUAUUAUUUUAAUUAUAUUUAUUUUAAAUUAUUUAUAAACUUUUUAUGUAUUUUUUAAAAUAUAAAAAUUAAUUAAUUAAUUAAUAUUUUUUUAUUAUUAUUAUUUAUUAAAAAAAGAUGAAAAAAAUAAAAAUUGAAUAAUUAUCCUGACCCAACUACCCCACCCUAUCUGUAUCCCAACUUCCCUCUACCUCUUUCCCCCAUCAGUAUAUAACUCCCCAACUUCCCCAAAGACUACGGACUUGGAACAUUAGAAAACAAAAAAGAAGGAACUACGUACUUUUACACAUUAUUUUAACUGUAUCACACAGAACCAGAAGAAAGACAUCAGAAAAAUAGACACUACAUCAGAAAAAGAGAGAGAUAAACUGAGAGAAAAAAAAUCAAUUAGAGAAGAAAAUCAUGGAACACCCCUAAAAAACGGAAGAGAAUCAAGUUUGGCUUCCGUUGAGUUUUCGGUGAAGGCAUCCUUAUUUCUACUUUAGUUAUUCUACCACGCAGGUUUUUAUCCAAUUUUGUACUGAUACUUUUAUAAAUAUUAUUGUGAAUAGAAACAGGAAUAAAAUGUUGUUUGAAACGAUUUAAUUUUAUUUUUUAUUUUUUAUUUAGUAUAUGUUUUGGAUUAUUUAUGUUGGAUCUUGGUUUGAAGUAGUGUUAUUUUUUCAUCCCGUUUAGUACAUCUUAUAAGUAUAUCGUUGUGUUUCUUGGCACUCCAUAUAGUGUUUUGAAACUUAAUCAGUUUUAAUUGAAACUUAAUUAGUUUGGUUGAAUGAUUAAGUGAGUAUGGUGUUUUCUCGGCACUUUACAUAGUGUGUUCUUAAAAUAAUUUUUAUUCAUGAAUUAAGCAUUCUAAAGAUCAUGGAAAAUAAGUAGUAUCUCAAGCAAAACAUUCAUGUAUAGCUUUAGGUAAUUUGAUUUUUAAGAUGUUAGUCUUUAGUGCAUGUUAAUAAUUGAAUAACUGAAGGUUGGUAUUUUAUCUUGUUAAUUACAUCAAAUUUUAUUUGAAUUUAAGUUAGUCCCUACAAGCGUAAUUUGAGAUUAAACUAAAUGAAUCAUUACCCAUAGCAAAAAUGUAAUUUAUUUUUUCGUUAGGUAGAGUAUUUAAGGUUCUUUCUGCAUGAAUUUAUUGCUAAUUUUAAGUUUGGUGCAUACUGUACAUAUGUAUCAGAAAAAAAUGUGUUUUAUGAAUUCAUUAAUGAUGCCACGAUUUAGUAACGUUACUGUUGGAAUUGUUUGAAGAUAUUCCAAAUAUUUUUAUACUCCAAACAUUAAUGAUGCCACGGUUUAGUGCUAAUUUCUGUUGGAAUUGUUUGAAGAUACUCCAAACAUUUUUUUUAUAUUUUAUUUUAUUUAAGUAAGACUUAGCUCAUCAAACGUAUAUUUAACUUUGAUAAAGAUAAUCCGGGCUUCUAAUUGUUUGGACUUCAAUAUUAUUCCAUAAAUUAACUACGCUUAAGGUCUAAAUGAAUUAACUAGAGGGUGUUUAAUUGAGAUGAGUUGUGGAUUUAUUCAAAAUCCAUCGCGGAAAAGAAAAAUAAAAAAGAGGAAAAACUCAUUUGUAAGGGAGCGAGUCGAGUUGCGGAAUAAUCCAAAAUUCAUUGCAAAAUAAAGAGAGAAAAAGAAUAAAAUAGAUAAUGUAAAAUUAUUUCGAAUUUAUAAAAGACGAACGAAUACCUUUUAACGCUAGAUAAGCUUUAGGCAUGUCUAAUAUAUUUGUCUCGACUAAGAAUGCGGCAUAUGCAUCUUUUCGAGAUGUUUAAAAUAAUUCGAGAAUGUGAUAUUGUACCUUGAUAAAGAUAGUCCUAAAAUGAAUUUCCCCUAGCUUAAUACAAGAGGUAUGGACAAACCUUUUUGGUAUAGUAAAAAUGAGCAAAUCAAGACCUUCAAACAUAAUUUAUCAAAUAGUUUAAGUUAAGUAUAAUUUGAUAAAGUGACCGUGCUAAAACCACGGAACUCGAGGGGUUUCUCACACCUUCCUCUUGAUCAACAGAAUUUCUUACUCGGUCUUCCAUUUUUGCAGAUCAAAAUAAAGAGUCAUUUCCUUUUGAUUAGGGAUUCAAUAAGGUGAUUUGGAACACCACAACUCAAUUUCAAAUGGCGACUCAGUAAAUAAAAUAAUCCCUAUUCAAUAUCGUCACUUUAAUUGGAAAAACCCUUCGACUCAACCCUCGAGGAAAAAAGGGGUGUGACACCUACCAAGUGGAAUUUGGGGAGGUAAACCGUAAGUAGUUCAUACCACUACCUCAGAUGAAGUAAAAAAACUGUUUUGAUUGCUUACAAAUAGAAUAUAUCAACCAUAAAUAUCGCACAUACAUAUACCAGUAUUGUUUAUUAAAAGUGAAAAGAGGUACUUUUGAAUUCCUGAUGAGAGAUGAAUUUGGUGUAGGACCUAAAAAGAAAGCAUCUAAAAUGAUUAAUUGAGUUGUAUCAGGCAUAUAAUCAAAUACCGUAGGUGUAUUUUUUGCCCAAUAAUGAUGUAAUAAUGCUAACUUAAUAAGAUAAAUAUUAUAUUACUCAAAGUAUUCGUAAGGCCAAAAAUAAAAAAAGUGGAAGAAAAUAGUUUACUUUCUCGAACCACUAGUCCCAAAAAAAAUCUAAAAGAAUACAUGAUAUAAGUCAAUUCAUUAUUCAAAGUGAACUACAAAUUUGAAAAUUUCACGUGCGCACAACUAGGUCUGGACAGUCGGUGAAAUGGACACUACUUACCAAUUAACCAAGAGAAAUAGAAUACAACAUCAGUGAAAAUUAAAUCAUAGUAUAACUUGUCGUAAGUAUCAUAACUUUGAAGAGGAAAAAUACUAAUUAGAUUUACUUAUUGGAAAAAGUCCGAUUUUGAUCAAUGAAAUGUCCAAAAUUAUAUAUUCAAAAUUUCUAUUUUCAGACAUGCAUGUGCAAACUAGAUAUAAUUAUCAAUAUGAAAACCCAUUUUUUUAAAAAUAAAUCUUCAUUGUAGUUCAAUUUUCAAGAAUUGGACCUAUUGAAAAUCCAGAAAAACCAAAACUAGAAAAAGAAAAAUUUACCAUAACUCAGAAAUACAAUAAAUCGAAAAAAAGUCGAAUCAAUGCAGAGAAAUCUGAAGAAAUUUUGAAAGAAGAAGUAGAGAAGGAGAGAGAAUAAAUUUUAAAAGCAUACGUUGUAUAAUAUAAAAGAAUACAUGGUAUAAUGUAAAAGAAAGAUAUGAAACGUGUUAGCUGCAAAAAUUGACAACCAACAUAUUAGGCCAACUCCAACGUACAAUAUGCAUGAAUGUUGUGUUCAUCCACUCCAAGUCUCACUUCUAAAUAAGGGAUCAUUUGAUAAAGUGUAAAAAAAUAAUAUAAAAUAUGGUGUAUUAGUAAUGGUUGUAUUAGUAAUACUUGUGUUAGCUAUACUUGAUUAGUUAUGUUUGUAUUUUUCUUAUGCAGUGUUUGAUUUGUUAUAUUAAAAAUAAUAUGAAUUACAUAAUUUUUUUUAAAAAUUGUACAUAAUACCCUCAAUAUAUAUGUUAGAAAGGAUACAAAAAAAUUUUCGAGGGAUACUAGUGUCUUUAAGCAUGUUGAUGCAUGCAUUAGAUUCAUUGCAUUACUAAUGCCAUAGAUUUUGAAGUACUAUUAAUACACACCUCAAUACACAAUAGAGUGUAUAACUAAUGCAAGCAUUAGUUAUACAUAGGGUAAAAGGAUAUACCAAAUAAGGUACUAUUAAUACACAUUAAACUAAUGCAUGCAUUAACUUUUCAAUGCACUCUACCAAAUGACCCCUUGUAAUAAUAUGGACAAUACUUGCACUAUAAAUUUAUAAUGCUUAAGUCAUCGACAUGCACUUAAAGUUAUCCCAAAAAUUCACUUAAACCCCUCAACUAAGUCCUGUACCUAUCAGGCCCCUAACCCACCCGAAUUUUGAUCCAAUCAAACCUUUUUUUUCUAAUCUCAUCAAAUCCCAUGCGCGUGUAUCCAAACGCUGCUUAUGUGGAAAGAUAAUCCACUCAGUUGUCUCCAUGUAUAUUGAAUAAACCGCGUAUUACAGGCUAGGGUUAAAUUGUCAAAAGUCCAUUUGGACAGAAAACAUAACCCUACUUUCUCUCUCCCCAACCUUCACUCUCUCUCUUUAAUUUUAGCCCUAAUUUAACCGAAUUUCUUUUCAAAUCGAAGAAGAAAUUUAAGGGUUUUCUCACAUCUUCCUCGUGUAAGUGUUUUUAAGAUUUGUAUUUGUUAAAUUUGGUAAAUUUUAGCAUAGUUUAGCUUUUAGGGUUUUGAAAUUUCACUACUGGGGCUGUGCUUUUAGAAAUAUUUCGUCACUUUUUUCACAUGCCUUAAAGGUUGUAGCUUUUAGCUUGUUGGUGUGUACUUUUGUUAUAGUUCGUUUACUAACUUUGAAUUUUUAUCAUUUAUUGCAGGUGACAUAACAAAUGGAGGUUAUUUUUACAAAAUUUCACCGUGGAGGGCCUUUUUCAAUAUGGUUCUCCCUACAUAUGUUGCAAGUUGUAUGCCAGAACUAAGAUACAUUGACAAGGAUCAAUUUCCUUAAUGGAAUUGUUAUUUUAUACUAAAAAAUUAGGGUAUGAAACUAUUGGGGAUUUUAUUACCAAGAUGCAGUAACUAAAGAGUUCAACUUGAUUAAAACUGACUGGCAUCUCCUUGAACUAGUUAAAGAUUUAAAACAUAAGGACUCUAUUGAUUUUUAUGUCUGUUAUGUUUUAGAUGAAUCAAUUCUAGAUCCUGAUGGUCCCACUGGUUUUUUACCUACACCCGAGGUUGUAGAUAGUGAGAGGGUAUCAGUGGAUAAGGUUAUUGAGGGUGCAGAACUAGAGAGAAAAACUGUUGGUGUUGAUGAUAGUGCUAACAUAGAGAGAGAAUCUUUUGGAGUAGGGGAAUAGAGGGAGGCUAAUGUAGAAGAUGUUAACCUAGAAGAUGUUGACAUAGAGACUGUUAACUUAGGUGAUGAGAGGGAGGCUAAUAUAUAAGAUGUUAACCUAGAAAAUAUUGGUAUAGAAGGAGGUGAUAAGGCUGAUAUAAAAGAUAUCUAUAUUGAAGAUGUUAAUAUAGAAUGUGAUUAUCAGAUUACUUGAGUAGUGAUUCAGAUCUUAGAGAUAUUCUUUCAGAAGAUGCUCAGAUGUUGAUGAGAAGUUGAGGGUUUUUAGACAAGAAAGAAGGAACAACAAAUCCAACAACAAAGAAAGAAACCAAAAAUCAAGAAAAAAGGUUGUAGAAAUUGAAGAAGUACCCGUAGGAGUUGUUGGUUGUGUAUAUAGAGGCUCUGGGGAUAUUGGAAAAAAUAAGGCUACCAAAUAUGUUGAAAAGUUGGGUGGAGAUAAGGAAUAUCUUGAUAGUUCUAACUGUUGGAGUGAAGAUAGUGAAGAGAUAGAUCUAGAUAUUGUUAGAGGAGUAAAUCUACAUAGAAGAAGGAGAAGCAAGAAAAUUAGGUAAGAUGAAAAUUGUGAGUUUGAUGUGUUUGAGCUUGAAAUUAUUUUUGAGGGUGCAAAAUAGUUUAGAAAAGCUAUUGCGGAUCAUGUUGUAGAGUAUAGAAGGCAGUUGAAGUUAAAACCUAAUGAAAAAUAUAAAAUAAGGAUGAAGUGCAUUGUAGCUAAUUGCUACUGGUUGUUGUUUGCUUCUACUGAUAGGUAUUUUUGUGAUUUUAUUAUUAAGAACUAUAAUCCUAUUCACAAGUGUAUUCCUCUAAACAAGAACAAGAUGUGUAAUUCAAAGCUGGUUGCUAGAAAGUUCAAGGACGGAAUUGUUUCUCAGCCAUACAUAAGGAUUUGGGAAAUUCAGGAUUUGAUAAGAGAGGUGCUGAGCCUUUAUGUAGGUAAAACUAUUUGUCAUAGGGCUAAAAAUAUUGUUAUAAGUGAGAAUAUGGGUGAUUGAAAACUGGAAUUUGCCAGAUUAUGUGACUAUGCAGAUAUGAUCAAGAAAACAAAUCUUAGAAGUUCUUGUUGGAUAAAAAUUAACAAAGAAACUGAACCAGGAAAAAACUUCUUUAUUUAUUUCUGUGUGCUUUCAUGCCUUCAAACAAAGAUGGUUAGAUGGGUGUAGAAAAAUUAUUUAUUUUUAUGGAUGCUUUCUCAAAGGAGCUAGUAAGGGUAAGUUGUUGGUUGCUGUGGGAAAAAAUGGGAACAACCAAAUGUAUCCUAUUGCAUGGGUAGUUAUGGAUACUAAAACAAAACAUAGUUGGAACUGGUUCAUAAGGUAUCUGAUUGCUGAUCUAAAUCUGGGAAUUGGUGAAGGCUUGACUAUAAUUUCAGACCAACUAAGGUACCACUACUUAAUUAUUAUUUUUAUUAUUUAACUUUAAUUUUUAAUAAAAUUCCUAUUUUAAUCAUACUUAUACUUAUUACAGGGUCAUGUUCCUGUUUUGAGGGAUCUGUUAUCAAAUGCUGAGAGAAGAAUAUGUGCUAGAUAUAUUUGGAGCAAUUGGUAUGUGCACUGGAGAGGAGAAAAAAGAAGGAAUCAAUUUUGGAGAUUUGCAAAAGCAAGCUUUGAAGUCAAGUUUAGAAAGAAGAUGUAAGCAAUGUCAAGACUAGGUAAGAAGAAAAUAAUUGAGGACAUGUUGGUUAAUCCUCAUUCUUCUUGGCGUAGGGCAUAUUUCAAAACAUAUUCUAAAUGUGAUAUUAUAGAAAAUAACAUGUGUGAGACUUUCAAUUUUUAAAUCUUAGCUGCUAGACAUAAGUCCAUAAUCACAAUGUUAGAUGAUGAAUAGACAUGUAAAUAUGAUCAAAUUUGUAGAAACAUAAAUUUAGACAUUGCUCCUAUGACAAGAACUAUUUUAGAAGAUAACAAGGAAUAUUAAAAUAGGUGUAGAGUACUAUGGGAUGGAUUUAAUGGUUUUGAAAUUGGGGAUGGGGUUUACACAUUUGUUGUUCACUUGGACAAGAAGUAUUGUGAUUGUAGGUUAUUGAUGUUAAGAGGUAUUCCUCCUCCUCAUGCUAUUUGUGCUUAUUAUUACUUGAAUGAAGAUCCUGAUCAAUAUGUAGAGCACUAGUAUAGGAAAGAAACCUUUCUUAAGUCUUAUAAUCAUUUCAUUCAACCAAUUACCAAUAUGAGAAUGUGGCCGAAAACCAUAAACCCAUCAAUUGAACCUCCAAAACCAAGAAAGAUGCUAGACAGACCUGGCAAGAAAAUAAGGAAGAACAAGGAUGGGCCAAAAAAGUGGGGCAAACUCUCAAAAAAAGGUAUCAAGAUGACCUUUUCAAGGUUCAAGCAAUUUGUCCAUAACAAGACUCUGUGUGGAAAAAGAGUAAGCCUUAAAUGAAUUUCAUAAUAGUUAAUAAUUGUUGUAAAGUUAACAUAUUUCUUAACUUUUCAUAUUUCUAUAUGUCUGCUAGAAUAGGAUGGAGAACAGUAAUAGUACUUAGCCUAGCACUUAGCCCGCACCCUCAUGGAGUCCACCACCACCGCAAUCAAGUUCUAUUUAUGGUGGUACCAUUGCAAUGUCAAGAGAUACCUACACUGAAAGUCAAACAGCAAGAGCAAGUUAUAUAUGUUCUGCCUUAAUAUUCUUCUUCUUCUUAUUAUUAUUAUUAGUGAAAAAUGUUGAAAAUAUUGUCUUGCAUUUAUUCACAGUCAAGCUCCAUCUUUCCUACAUAGGUAACUACACAAUCCAGUCAAUGAGAAUCUAUUUGUGCUGACACAACUGCUGUGCCAAGAGCACCUCAAAAGAAAAGUAUCAGGUGUAGAUGGUAGAGGUCAAGGUGCUGCUGGUAGAGGUAAAUAUAGUUCUGGUAAGGGUCAAUAUGGUUCUGGUAGAGUCAAUAUGGUGCUGAUAGGAGAGGUAAAGGAGGAACUGGUAGAGGUCAAGUAGGGACUGGUAGAGGAUUGAAAAAAAAUAGUCAAUGCAAGAGGGACCCUAUUUGAAAGUGGAAGAAAUGUUUCUUCCAGUCAAGUUCCACCUUUGCCAACCAACAAGAGGCCAUACAAUGAUACCUUAUUUGUUGCUGCUAUUGGAUAUAAAAGGCUUACAACUAAUUUUGGUGUUUACUCUGAUACAACAACUGAAACCCAACUGUACAACGUAUUUCUCUCUAUCUCAUUAUUUACUUAUAACAAUGUUUUCAUUCAAGUUUUCGAUGUUCAUUGUCUUACAAUCUUAUCUAAUUUUACAGAUUGGUACAUCAAGUGAGAGAGUUCUUCAUAGAGUUACAAAUUUAAGAAGUGCUUCACCAACUAAUAUAAAUAUUAAUUUUAAACCUCGUGUCCUAAAGUGGAAUGAAAAAGAUGUAGUCACUAGCACACAAUUGCAACAAUAACAACAACAACAACAAACCCAGUGUAUUCCCACAAAGUGGGGUUUGGGGAGGGUAAAGUGUACGUAGUCCAUACCACUACCUCCAAAUAAGUAGAUAUGAUGUUUUCGAUAGACCCCCGGCUCAAGAUAAGGAAUAAUAAACAAAAACGUAAUGAAACAUGAAGCAAGAUGGAUGGCAUCACAUAAAAAGGAUUAAGACAUAAAUAUGAAUCAAAUCAGUAUGAGAUAAGGUAAUCAAGUGCAAUGUGAAAUAAGAGAUAAGAAAUAGGGCAUCUAAAAAACAACACCCACCUAGUAGUAACAGAUACUCAUAGGCCAGAUGCACCCUCCACACCCAAAUCCUCCUAACUAGGAGCUCUUACCUAAGGACAAAGUCCUAGGAUUAGUAACCUGGCUAUACCAGGGCUCUUCUAACUACUAGCUACAGCCCACGUACACAAACUAUCUCAGCUUUCCUUCCUGCAUCUUGUCCUCCACCGAAGCCACUCUUACCUUCUCCCGAAAUAUCUCAUUCCUCAAUUUAUCCUCUCUAGUAAAUCCAUACAUCCAAUACAAUAUUCUCAUUUUUUCCACCUUCAUUCUUUGAAUAUGGGAGUUCUUGACUGGCCACACUCUGCUCUAUAGAGCAUAGCUGGCCGAACUGCCACUAUGUAGGAUUUGCCUUUAAGCUAAAUUGGGACCUGAUUAUCAUACAACACUCCCGAGGCGAGCCUCCACUUCAUCCAACCUGCUCUAAUAUGGUUAGAGACAUCCUCAUCUAUCUCACCAUUCCCCUGAAUCAAAGACCCAAGAUACUUAAAACUAUCUCUCUUUCAAAUAUCCUGGGAAUCCAACCUCACCACCACAUCUUCCUCCUGCCUCAAGUCACUAAACUUACAUUCCAUAUAUUCCAUCUUGGACCUACUCAACCUGAACCCUUUAGAUUCAAGGGUUUGCCUCCAAACCUCUAAUUUUUCAUUCAUGUCCCUCGCGUCUCAUCAAUCAACCCUGUAUCAUCCGCAAAUAGCAUACACCAAGUUACCUCUCCUUGAAUACUUCGUGUCAACAUGUCUAACACAAACACAAAUAGAAAAGGACUAAGAGUCAAACCCUAAUGCAACCUUGUCUCGACUGAAAAAUGCUCUGAGUCCCUCCCCACCGUUCGUACCUGAGUCUUUCCUCCAUCGUACAUGUCCUUAAUAACUCUAAUGUACACCACCGGAACCCUUUUUACCUCUAAGCAUCUCCAAAGAACCUCCCUAGGGACUUUGUCAUACUCCUUCUCCAAGUCAAUGAACACUAUGUGCAAAUUCCUCUUUCUUUUCCUAUACUGUUCCACUAAUCUCCUUACCAGGUGGAUUGCCUUUGUCUUUGAAUGACCAGGCAUAAAACCAAACUGAUUCUCUGAAAUAGACACGAGUUUUCUCAAUCUCUGCUCAACCUCCCUCUCCCAAAUCUUUAUAGUAUUGCUCAAUAGUAGAUGCAUCCAAGUCUUUUUCAUCAGUUGGAUCUUCUAAGAAGUAGUUCAUUUAGAAAUGAUUUGUAUGCAGGAUACUGUAAUAAGGGUUAUACAAUCCUUUUGAAAAAAUUGUGUUACUAGUUUUUGAACAACUUUUUCUUAGGCAGCAGUUAAUGACUUUGAGGUAUGCUGUAGUAGUACUAUUAUGCUCAAUGCUGAGUUUUUUUUGAACACCUUAUUUAGUGAUUAUGCUCUUUUUAGCUCAACUUUGAGAAGUUUUAAUAUGAUAUGCUGCUUCUUGCACUUUUUAGCUCAACUUUGAGUAGUUUUAAUAUGAUGUGCUAUUUCUAAUAUUUUAGUUCAGUUUUUAACAAUACCUUCGGUAAUUACAAAUAGGCUAUAUGGUUAUGCUUAGUUGAGUGGACAAAACAUGUCAAUUUAUUCACAUUAAACAUAUCAAAAUGAUAUAAACUAAUCAAACAACUACUACAAACUAACCACUACAAAUACAUUACAAACUAACCACUACAAUAUCCAAUUGUCUAUUCAAUAGGAAAACUUAACUACUACGUUACACCAUAUUAAAGACCCACUUUACAGUAAGAACAAUGAGAAGAAGCAGAACAAGUCUAUUCAAUUUGAGCUUAGUAGAUUUCCUUAUAAAUUUAACUUUUUUGAGUUUUUACCUCAAUGCAAUCAACUUUUCUUCACUAUCUUUCAAUUUCUCACACAAAGUGUCCCUCUCUUGUUCAAGGUCUUUGAGCUUUUGCUUCAGUCGAUCACAUUAAUUUUUACCAUCUUUGCACCUAAUCAUUAAGCUCUAUUCUACCUCAGGAUAUUGAUGCACAGAAAUUAAAGGUUUUGGAUCAAUCUAUCUAAAGUAGUCAUAUCCACCAUUUUCCUAAAAUACAAAAAUAGUAAAAUUAUCAAAAAAAUUACCAAAAAAAUAAAAUUAAAAUUUGUGAAAAUAUUACAAACCUUUGGAACUUUACAUCCAAAAAAUCUACCACCUGGAUUUGAUGGAGUCCUUGAAGUUCUUAAAGGAAAAAAUUUGGAACAGUAACACAAAUCGAAUAACUCAACAUUAACUGAAUUUUUCGAUAUUCUCAUCUAAAAUAAGAGAAAAAAUAAUUUAAGAGAAAUUAUGAGAUAAAUUUGAGAGUGAUAUGAGAGAAAUUAUGAGAUAAAUGUGCUAUGGAGGAGAGGAAUGUAAGAAAAUGAGGAAAUUAGGUUAAAUAAAGAGAGAAAGAAAAGGCGAUGGCAAAGUAACGUUAACUUUUGCCACAUGGACUGCAUUUCAGGGUUCACGCGCCCUCAGUGACUAGAUAGCACGUGGAGUGCCAUGUAGGCAAAAAAGACCUGAUUGGAUCAAAAUUUAGGUGGGUCAGGGGCUUGAUAGGUUCAGGCCUUAGUUGAGAGAUUUAAGUGAAUUUCGAGACAACUUAAAGUGUCAAUCGAUGACUUAAGCCAAUUUAUUACCUUGCAGCAUUAAUAGGCGAACUAAAAGAUUCUAAUUUCAUGUAUGAUCACAGAAAUAUCAUUUAUUAACACAAAAGUCACUUGACUAUCUUUAUUAACACAAAAGUCAUUGACUAUCUUUUUAAUCAUAAUACUUUCUCUAUUUCAAAAUGUUGACCCUCUUUCUAAAGAGAUUUGUUUCAAUUUAGGACCUAUUUGGUCAUAAAAAUAAAAAAUGUUUUCACUUUAUUUGGUAAUUUUGAAGUUGAAAAUAGAGUUGGAGUUGUGUCAGGCUAAAGUAUUUUUAAAAAUAUUUUAGACUUUUAAUGUACUUUUUCAUAAAUAUGAUUUAUAGCCUCAAUUUCUAAAAACUAACAAAAUAACCAAAUUAACAUUUACAACUCCACUAUAAGACAAAAAGUAAACAACAUUGCUAUUGAACAUUUAGAACAACCACAUGAAGCCAUGUUUCUGUCUCCCAUAACCAAGAAAUGGCACACAUGUAAAUGAGAUCAAAAAUUGAAAAACUGAAACUUAUACAUACAACAACAACAACAAACCCAGUGUAUUCCCACCUAGUGGGGUCUGGGGGGGGGGUAAGAUGUACGCAGUCCAUACCUCUACCUCUGAUGAAGUAGAAAGGUUGUUUCCAAUAGACCCCCGGCUCAAGAAACUUAUACACACACAUGUAUGUAAAUGACAUGCAUUUACAUACAUACGUAAAUGGUAAACAAAAACAAGCAAACUAAAAUCAAGAAAUAGUUAUUCAAUUCGAUGAUUCAAAAUUCAAAAUUUUGCAACUCCAAAAAAAUCAUUAUCACAACAAAUACCUGAAAAUUUUAUCAAGAUUCAGAAUUGUAAGGGAGUGUGGAUAGUGCAGAUAACUCGGGUAAUUUGCAUGGUUAGUUAAUAUUAAAUUCUUUUUCAUGACUAUUUUUAAUAAUUUUAUUCUUUCCAUAUCUAUUCUUCAAGCUCUUAAGUAUUCAUAGUCUAUCAUUUUAUCCUAUAGUAGUUGUAAUUUUAUAAAUUUCUGUGUAAUAAUAUAUUCUGAUUGUGCUAUAUUUGAUAUGUAAUCCUAUGUUAUCUAUGUGAUCAAUUAAAAUUUGUUGUUCAUGUAUAGAUAAUUUUUCAUAUGGAUUAUGUAAACUAUCAUUUGUACCUCUUUUUUCUAAGGUUAACUUUAUUUCAAGUAAUCUUUCUUCUAAUUGUCUUCUUUCUCUUCUAAGCUGAUUUCUGUAAUUAAUUUCUUCAUAUAGCCAACUUUGUCUUUCUCUAAUUCUUCUAAUAUAUUCUAAUAUUUUUUAAUCUAUAUAAUAUCCAUCUGAAUAGUAAUUAUCUAAGUAUGAAUAGUAGCUAUCGUCAUUUAAGUGUAUUUGUUCUAAUUCAUCUUCUAUCCAAUUUUCUAAUUCUUCAUCUUCAAUAUCAAAUAUCUUUCCCAUAUAAUUUUCUUUAUAUCUACUAUCUCUAUAUCCUUAAGUACAUAUAAAACAAGUAUCUUAAAUUCAUCUAUCAUUUCAUCAGGUAAGUAAGUAUUCAUUUUUCAUAUGAUGUUAUUUUUCAAAAUAAUCCCUCCAAUCAUAUACAUAAAAAAAUAUGAUCAUGUUAGAUCACUAUAUACUAGAUUAUUCUUAAAUAACAUGUUCUUUAGUCACUAUUAGCAUGGUAAUCUGAAUACUUUUCCUCUAAACAACACCUCUACUCUGGUUACUUACCUAUCACGGCUUCUUUGCCUUACUGAUUUCACCUUUAGGAUGGCAUAGUUCCAGGAAUUUUUCUCCUUUUUCUCUUUGCGAAUAAACUUUGAAACAUAUUAUUCCUCGAAUAAUUCUACUAUAAAGUAACUAACAUGAGCUUAUUUUAUUAUACUUAUGAUUGUCAGAAAUUUAUGAAUUUAGCUAUUUAUAAUAGUAAAUGAAUAUACCUGUUCUUGUGGCUUUGAUAAUUCUGUACUUUGCUCAUCCAUAGCUUAGUGUAAAACUGAAUAUCUUAAUUGAUUAUAUGAGAGAAUUUUUGUUGUAUACAAGAAGGCUUGCUUUCCGUGUAGAAAGUCUUGCCUUAACUUAGCAAAUGCCUUUUCUAUUUAUAACCUAAAAAAGAGAAAAUGCGUAUACUAUUCUAAACUGUUCCUACUUUAUAUUUGUCAUUUUUACAAAAGUAGAAAAAACUAAAGUAACUUUACAAAAAGUCCUAAAGCUAUCCUACAAAAAAGACAAAAUUAAUAAUGGCACUUGGCCAAAGAAAAGUCAAAAAGCUAAUAAAUGCUAUAUAAUAAUUUACGUAUUCAAAGACAAGAAAAGUUAUCUAAUAAUUCGUGUGUCAUUUUCAUAACUUUAACAUCUUGUCUUUUUGUCUUCUUCUUCUUCAUUGUUUCGUUGCUUUCUAUUUUUUGUCUAUCUUCCAACUGGUGUCCUUAUCUUCUUUUAUUCUAGUUGAACUUCUGGAAUAAUGUUAUCUUCUUCGUUACAUCUCGAACAUAGAUGGUCUGGAUAUUUAUGCCCUAUUAAUUUACAGUAUCUGGUCAAUAAUUCAUCUGAAAUAAAUUUUUUCUUAAUUGCUCUGGUAAUUAGUCAUUUCUCUGGAUUAAGUAGUGUCAUAAUCCAUCUCUGAACUUUCUCCAUAUCUUCUUGUCUUAACUCUCUUGAAUUUGAAUAGGUCAUUAGCUGGUCUCUUGAAUAAUAACUCCGUAUUGGAUUUCCGUUUAGGUAGUUAUUUGUUAAUUCUUGGAUAAUUGUAGAUAUUCCAAUAUUUAUUUUAUUCGCAUAAAAAUCAGGUAUUUCUAUUUUGGGUAUUUCAACUUGCUAUUCAAUAUCUUCAGGUAUGAUCAUAUCUUAAGUCAUUCCUAUCUUCACAACUUGUAUAACUAGUUUAAUUUCAUCAUACAAUAUCUCUGCUGGUGCUGUAUAGAACUUUACAAAAAAUAGGUUGCCCUUGGUUAUCUUUCUGUAAGUGGUAAUUUCUUUAUAUAUUUCUGGUAUAGUAGAUAAUUCACUUCCAUCUUGGGUAUAUACAAUAUUGAGUAGUCCAUAACAGAAAUAGGUUUUAACUAGAUUUGGGUUAGUUUUUGGUAAUGCAAUUAACUUAUUGUAUUCUUGUAGUUUUUGGGUUAUAUAAUCUGAAUUUGGUUCUUGAAUGCUUAUAGCUCUGGGUUCAAGGUUUAAAGUAAGUUUGUAUCUUGUGGAUGUUUUCAAUAUAUGAUUUGGUUAUGUGGUUAUAAGAUUUUUUGUCUUGGUGUAGGCUAUCUAAAUAUGUAAUAGUUUGCGGGGGUAUAAACAAAGGGUCUUUUGGUGUUUUUGGUAUAAAUGGCUUGUCAAAUAUUUUGUUCAUGUUCAUAUUUAGGUUUCUUCUAACUCCUUUGCUUCUACCUGCAAAAGUAUUUUGAUAAACGUUAUGGGUUUUUUGGAGUGUCCCAACGUCUCCUUUUAUCUCUGGAAUUUUAUUGUCUUUCGAUCGAUAUUUCUCUGCACAUUGCUGAGUUAUCUGAGUCAUAGCUUUAGACUUCAGUUUAACUUCAUUAGUCUUUAGCUUUUCUAUCUCAUUUCCCAUACUAUCCACUUUCAUUGAAAGCGUAGUUAGGGUUUUGAGUAUUUCUUCUAGAGUAUCAUCUUCUGUAAUAUCAGUUUGGGUAGCUUUGUCUUGAUAUGUAAUCUGCAAUGUCAUUCUUGUUAGUCUUAAUUACUUCAAUUGUAAAUGUAAAAUUUAAUAUAUUCAAUAUAAUCUCCGAAUUUCCUUCGUUGUAACUGAAUUUUGUAUUUUUGUUGUUAACCACCACCGUACUGGUGUAUUAUCUGUUCAUACAAUAAACUUAUUAUAUACAAUAUAUGGCUCAAAUGCUAAUAACAUUUAUAUAAUGAGCAUAAUUCUUUUCUAUUUAUUUCCCAUUUUAUUUCUGUUUUAUUAAACGUUCCUCAGUAGUAUCUACAAUGAUGUUCUAAUUNNNNNNNNNNNNNNNNNNNNNNNNNNNNNNNNNNNNNNNNNNNNNNNNNNNNNNNNNNNNNNNNNNNNNNNNNNNNNNNNNNNNNNNNNNNNNNNNNNNNNNNNNNNNNNNNNNNNUCUUUACAAAGUAUUUUUAUUUUCUGUACUUGUUUUUUAUCUUUUUCGUUGUGAUUAUAUUUUACAUCCUUUCUUAAUUUUUUUCUGUAAUGGCUUUAGGUUUUCUGCUAAUUUUGGUAUAUAUUCUCUUACUUGGUUUACUAAUCUUAAAAAUAAUUGUAGUUUUUUUUUUGUAUCUAAUUCUUCUUUUGAAUUUAUUAUUUUUUGUACUAUAUGUUGUUGCAUUUUUACUCCACUUUUAUCUAUUUGUAUUCCUAAAAAUUCUACCUGAUUUUUUAUUAUUUUUUCUUUCUUUUCACUUAGACUUAUUCUUGAGUGUUCUAUUAUACCUGUAAAUUGUUCUAAUAAUUUUAAAUGUUCCUCUUUAGUUUUUGUAUAUAGUAGUAUAUCAUCUAUGUAUACUAUACAAUUAGGUAAUUAUUUGAAAUAACUAUCCAUAAAGUGUUGGUAUCUACCUGGUGCAUUUUUAUAUCCAAAUGGUAAUACGUUUCAUUCAUAAAAUCCUUGUAGUACCGUAAAUGUGGUUAAUUCCUUAGAAUUUUCAUCUAAUUUUAAGUGGUAAAAUCCUGAUUUACAAUCAAAUUUACUAAAGUAGUUAUAUCCUUGUAUUUGUCUUAUUUAAUAUCUUAUUUGGUAUUAGAUAAUUAUAUGUCACAAUUUUUGCAUUUAGGUUUCUAUAAUCAAUAACCAUUCUACUUUUUCCUUUUUUUGUUCACUGUGUUUAUUUACUAUGAAUACGGGGCUAGUGUGUUUACUAUUACCUUUUUGUGUAUAUUAUUUUUCUAAUAAUUCAUCUAUAUGCAUUUUAAAUUCUUUUAAAUCAUCAAAGUUAUAUGUUAAUGGUUUUUGGGUUAUUAUACUAUUUUUAUCUAUUAGCUCAAUUCUUACAGCAGUCUUAUGUUUUUCCCAUCCUUUUAAUGGAUCUUCACUGUAUAUUUGUCUUAAUUUUUUCUUUAUUAUUUCUACCUUAUCUAUUGAAAAUAUAGUUAUUUCUUCUUUAUUUAUUGAAAAUAUAACUAGUUCUAUUGUGUCUUCAGUACUUUUUAUAUUUUCUAGUUUUUGUGUGAUUUUUUUCACUUCCUUUUAUCCAAUCAACUUUCUUUCUUAUUUUAUUAAUAACUCUUUUUGCUCUUACCCUUUAGUUACAUGGUGAUGUAAACCACCAGUGUGUUUUAGUUAUUAUAUGUGGGUGUUGUUUAUCUAAAAAUGGCAUUCCUAAAAGCAUAUCUUUCGAUGUUAGUUCAUAAUUAUAGAUCUCUUCUAUUGUUAAUAUCUUAUCCCAUACUUGUAUUUUUAUAUUUCUAGCUUUAUAGGUAAUUAAGC